GGAGUUUUUGUUAUCAAUAGAAUGCUAGUUUUUUAUGCUAUAUUCAUCAACUCAGUCAGUGCCAUUUUAGAAAUGCCCUUAUUAAGAAAAUGAAAUCCAUAUUUUGGGUCUACUGCGUUAUCACAAUUAACAGAUGGCAUAUGGUCUAGAGGAAGAAUUAUAACACUUAUCAUCUAGGAGUCCAGUUUCUUGGCAGCUAGAAAAGAGCCAUGAGAAAGCUUGUAACGAAUACAAAGGCAAGUAAAAUCCUAAGCCAUCACUCUGCAAAUUACUUCAGAAAACCACGGUAAAAUACAUACCAGAUCUGCUGAGGGCCAGCUCUAGUGCGUUUGGAAGCUGUUAUUGCUCUUAAGUGGGAGCGAGCUGAGGCUGAGUUUGUUAUCAUCGUGACUGAAGCUGGCUGCAGCAGUUGUUCUAAGUAAGGCAUCUCUGCGGUACCAAAAUAUUUCCAGUGCUGGCCUUUCAUUUUAGCUUCCAUAUCUCCUACAAGCAGGCCGGCAGCACCAACUUCCAGAAGAUUACAAUUGUUCAUGUCUUGGAUAUUAACGGGACGUUCGCUAACCAUACAGAGAAAAAUGUGCACCGAUAGUCAAGUGCUAUAAUAGAAGUAAAGACGUGUUUGAACAUUUGUAAGAACCGAAAUCAUGUACAAUGUACCUUUCAGAAGAAGCUGAUGAUAACUGGAGCUCCCCAACCCAACGCCAGUUCAGCAAGUCUGAUGAUAUGUAUUCAAUGUCUUCCAUAGCAUUAAUUUCUUGGAUAUUUGACAAAUUUGAAACAGACAGAUUUGCAGCAUCUUUUUUCUGUGGAGAUUCUGCGGCAUUUGCAGGACUUAAUUGGGAAUUGAAUGAUUUGCUCAACAAAGAGGAUAGAGAUGGCAAUAACUGCCUUGACGCAAGAGUAGCUCCUGCAAAUGCUGCAGGUUGGAAGGAUCGCCUUGGGAUAUGUAAAGCCACAAGGGAACGCACAUAAUGCAAUGACUUCACCAGAGCUGCAGAAGCAAAACUGGACACUGGUAAAGGAGAAUCCCCUGCUGGUGCUGAUAAAACAGGCAAUGAUUUCUGCUUCAAGCUAGCAUCGCACUCAGCAAUCAGAUUCACACAAAAUUUAUCGACCUGCAGUAGUGUCUCUUCACCAGGCUUAUAUCUGUAGUGUAGUAACACCUAGGGGUCAUUAUUAUGUAAAAUAUAAUCCAUAGAAAACAUUGGAAGAACUAUAUACAUAUUACAGACAAACCUCAAAAUAUAGCAACAUAAAUGCACACUUAAUCUCUAGGUUAAUUGUCCCGUUUCAGAUACAUUGAAACCAAAUAAUUAUGGUUUUAUUGAGAAGGACGAGCUUAGGGACAUUGACAAGUGAAGAGAUACUCGUUCAAGUAAGCAAAUGAAUAUUAUCAAGUUUCAUCGUUCAACUAGAAAUAUUUACCUUAAGAGAUACCGUUUCAAUAGUGCCACACACCUCGUAACCACAGCUGGACUGCAAAAAUUUGAUUGAACAUUAGCAACAACUAAAAUUUUUAGCUAAAACCAUGCUAAUUCAGAAUAUUUUCAGAAUAUAGCAAUCUGCAUCCUAGCUAAGUGAGAUUCCAUGCAACAAUAGGUCCACCUAGCAAUAAGUCCUCAAGUGCUUAAAUUGUCAACUUGGGCUAAUGAUAUAUCUAUGCAGGGACUUUUCCGAUUUUUCUCACUUACUUCUAAGAGUUCUUCCGCUCACAAUUCUAUCUACGAGAUCUGUUCAGAUUACCAUUUAUUCUACAAACGCCUUUAAGUAAUCUCCAUAGAUAAAUCAACAAGGGACUUACAAAACUAAAUUUUGUGAUCAUAUAGAAUUAUAGAAAGCUAGAACUAUCAUACUUCAUUUUCCUUUGAAAUCAAACUACUAUGACUAUAUCCGCAUACAAAUAUAUAUAUUUGCCUUUAUGUCAUCCCAUAUUCUGGUCAAAACUCCCACUUCUGCAAUUAAAGCCCCAGUUUCCGCAUCAUGAGGGAUCAAAGUAAUGAGCUCAUUUCCUUCACCUCAAAAUUUUCAAUGAGUUCAGGCUUCCAGAUUUGAAGACAUUUAUAUCACUGAGUUCUGAAGGUCAAUCCUUAUACUACAAUUCACUAUCCGACUUGCGAGUAUUACCAAAUUACUGAACAUACAUAUCGCUAAUCCAAACUAUGAUUCAAAAGAGUCAAAGUUUCAAUGGGAUGAUGAAAAACAUAUGAAGUAUAAAUUAAUCACCUGCGAUCUCUCUCUGCUACAGUAUGCUCUAACAGCAUGUUGUAGGCUAGGUCAGUCGUGGCAGAGGCUGAUAGAUAAUCCUGUAAUCACCAAGUAAUUGUGUGAGGUCAUGUAAAGAUGCAGGUCAAAUAUUUCCAAUCAACUAUCAAAGUGUUAUCAAGCUAAGAAAAUGGAUAAUGCAAAAAAGGCUUCUCUACCUAAAUCCUCAUCUAUAUUAGGCCUCAAAUGCAAUGGCUACUGGAACAAGAAGAGUAAUGUGUAGUAUAUAAAAUAUGACUGAGUACGGCGCCAACACUACUCAAAGUAAGCGCAAAUGUAGACACUGCUAUCUUCUUAACAUCCCUUUACCCCGCACAGAACUCAUAUAUCAAUGCAAAACAAGAAAAAAGCCCUAGAUACUCAAUUCCUCUCUUCACACAAUCAAAGAACAGGAUUCAAAUUACCUCUUAACUAAACUCAAAAAUGGAAAAUACCAAGAGGAGAGAUAAUCCCAUUUCACGGUAAGGAAAAAUAAAGCAAGCAUAGCGUAGGUGGGAGGUACACACCCGGAGAUUCCUGAGAGCUUCAGACGGAGCCAUGGAAGGGAUCGCGCCAUGGUGAGAAUUAGCCGGAGGAGGGGAGGAUGAGAGGCAGUCGGCCACGGCCCGGCGCAGCGGUUCAGGCGGCUUUUUGGAGGAAGAAGAUCUAAGGCGCGAGGCAGAGCCGGCAACGCCCAGCUGCAGCAAGCGGGAGCUUCCGGGGCUAAAAGUGGAAGACAUGAAUCAAAUCUCGCCGGAGUAGCGCCACUCUUGCUGCGAGGAGUGAAGACUUUUUUGUUUGUUUUCGAUUUGGUUCUGUUGCUGGCUAACGUCGUGUUCUUCACAAUCACAGAGAUGAGCUGUCAAAGCUUUCUCCGUUUUGAAUCCAUGGUGGAAUCUAAUGACGGAGACAUGGUUUUUGCAAUCUGGUCCCCCUUGUUCUAAUAAUUUCUAGAUUCAGCAGCAUAUCUUUAUUUAAUGCUAUAGUGGUCCGAAAAUCCCGAUGAGAUCUACGUUUUAACAUGUGGGGAAGUAUUAAUGAUGGCUUCGGCACUGUGUGGUGUCCAAUCCAACGAAGAAGAAAACAUUUUGGCAUUAUGAUAUUUUACAAUUGGAUUUGAGAAAGAAAAAAACAGUCAAAUUCAUACAAUAUACCUUUGCUUUGCGGUUACAAUUCUCGAACAUAAAUUGCAAAUUCACACAUGUGCUAUUGUAAUGACUAAUGAGAGUGUAACUGGUCAUGUAUACACUAUCUAAUGAACUCCAGAUAAAAUAGAAACUAUCACAUUUCGUGGUUUCACUAGCAACUUGCAAGUGUUAGUUAACACGUUAGCGGUUGAUGACAUGUUAAUGAUUACGAUGGCAUGUUAACCUAAAGAAUAAUAACACACGGUUAACGACUUAGCCUAUAGAAUAGUAAGUACACCGCAUAUCUCAUAUACAAAAAGAACUUUGGAGAUUGGUUGUGAAGCUCACCUCAAUUGCUCGAAACUCGUAAAGAUUGAAAUGCCGAAUUGCAGGUUUGAAUCGCAUCUUGAUAAGCUCGCGAAUCAAUAUAAAAGAAAGAGGGCCCAUAAACCGAAGAAUGGGCCCAAUAAGUAGUCCCAUAACCCACGUGAGUUGCUGACUGUGACGAUCCGCUCUUCGCGCUCACGGUUUGCUCCUUCCCCAAUGGCCCGAAUCAUACAUAUUUACAUUUUUCAUUUUCUUUCAUUUUCAUAAAACAAAACAAAUCUGUCUGUUCAUUAUUGUUGACUGACCUAGACCCAACCUAAAAAGAAAAAUAUACAAAUCUGUGUAUCUCUCUUUGUUGUCUUUGAUCCUUAAUAGCGAGAGACUCACCUCGAACCCUAGAUCUAACACCAGCCGUCAGAUCAAAUCGAUUGGGCAAUUUCUUCUAGACCGUUGGAAUCUUAGGAGGCAGCAAUGGUAGAGGUAGAAUCGUAUUUGUGGGUAUCCAGAAGAGUCGUAAGGAUUCUCUCCAAGUUUGGUGUCUUUUCAUCUUGAUGGCCAACAAUUCCAAUUUCCUCUAGACAGCUACUUUUUUUUUCUUUUUUUUUCUGUCAUGUGUGAUUUGGUCGCGCGUACCGGUCGACUCCAGCAGCGUUACGAGGAUGGCUCUCGUCUCGUAGCCGGGUACCGUUUUUUGUUCCUAGUUUCUUUCUCUUCCUGUUUGCGUUUGUAUCGUCUCUCUAGAGCUGGAGCUCGUGCUUUGCUAUCUAUAAUGUGAUUCUUUCUCGUUUAUUACAUAUUAUACGGUUGGUGUCUGAAGAUUAUGGUGGCGAAAUGAGUUUCAUAUGUUGGAGAUUUGUUUUCGUGAUUGCUUGAGUUUUUUUUUUAUAAAAAAUUUCUGUGAGGGACUGGUUUAUGUUCUAGAAUUGUAAAACAAGAUUCACGUCACCUUGUAUCCUGGUUUGAAUCUCUGUUGGAGAUUCUUUGUCUCAGAAUCAAGCUUUGAUUUUAACGAGAAGAGUCCUGGCUGAGCAUUAUCAAGAGGAUUCUUGUAGUGUAAUUGACAUGCACUUGUAAUAGUCAUUUUUUUGGUUAAUGAAAUGCUGCAACAAAGUAUGACUUUAGCCUUGAUAGUUGUCUUUGGUUUUUGUUUGCGGAGAUGAUUAUGGACCUUGCUUAACAAGUUCAAUGUUGGUGGCGUUUUUAUAGGUGUAUUCCGUUUAGGUACAUUAACUCUGAAGAAGAUGGUAAUUCUGAUACUGGGAAAGUGAUUCAAGUGUUGAUGAUCAGCUCAUCUAGUGGACCGGGACUUUUGUUCCCCAAGGUACAAUUUAAAUGCCGUUUCUUUUGUUGCUUCCCAUUUGUUUCGAAACGAAGUAACAUAUUUAGGUUCAUAUAGGGAGGAUGGGAAAAUGAUGAAACAGUCAGGGAGGCUGCAGUGAGGGAAGCAGUAGAAGAAGCAGGAGUCCGUGGGGAUCUUAUGGUAAAAUCAUUCCUACAAACUUUGUAGUUGUAGCUCUUUCGUUUUUGUUUAGGCGGCUGGUACUGAAUGUGCAAAACUUGGGAACAUUGCAGGAUUUUUUAGGAAAUUAUGAGUUCAAGAGCAAAACGCACCAAGAUGAGUUUAGCCCAGAAGGCUUAUGUAAAGCGGCUAUGUAUGCUUUGCGUGUGAAGGAAGAGCUAGAGAUGUGGCCUGAACAGAAGACGAGAACACGGACUUGGCUGACAAUUGAAGAAGCGGUGGAGAGCUGCAGGCACGCAUGGAUGAAGGACGCGUUGGUGGAAGGUUUCUGUAAAUGGCAUAAGGAGAAGAUGGAAAAAGGAGAGAUAACAGAUGAAGAUUUGAAGUAAGUGUGCAUAAUUCUGAGGUGUUGGUUCCAUUCCUUUCGAUUUUGUUUUUACCCUUUUUGAAGUCAUAUGCAUGAAGAAUUUGUGACUGCGAAACAUAAGAGUUUCCAAGUUUGAAAGUUGAAUUAUUUCCCUGUUUCACAGCUGUCUUCAUCAUUUUGCAAUAAUUCUGAUAAAGAAAAAGACAGCUCUUGGAAAUCUCGUUUAAUCAGAAUCAGGUUUUGAGCAAUUGUUUGCUUGUACUUGUAAACUCAAUUGAUUAGUUAUUACUAUAAAGCUGGUUUUAACAUCAUGAUUUAGUUCUCAAAAGUAUUUGACUUCUGGUAUUAUAUCUCAUACCGAAAUAGAGAUGGGUAUAACAUACUAGACAAAUAUGUAAAGUUGGAAAUUUGUGACUCUUGAAAUGAUGUGAGAAGUUCGGAUGAAUCAUACAAACUGAAUUUGCAUCAUCAUACAUUUUCUUAUGUUUGUUCACAUCAUCAGUUUUAAAGAUCUAUAACAUUGCUUUUGAUUAUACAUGCGCUUACAUAUUCCAUACACCGUAAAACACAUUAGAUCAGUGUACCCCCAUUCUUUGCCAAUAGAACAUAUUAGCUGUAGACCAUAAUGAAAGAAGGAAAAAAAAAAAAAGGAAAAAGUAAAAAUUGUAAAGAAGAAAAAUAGGAAACAUGAGAUAUCCCCCCGGUUCAGCUAAACAACCGGAACCAUGUCAUUAUUAUCAACAUGACUUCAUCAACGGACCACCGCACAAGCAUUGAUUGUCACUAAACGACGUAGCUUCAAGGUGAUCAAAUGGAGAACCCUUUGGAAUACGCCCACAAAGCUUGUUAUGGCUGAUAUCCAAAUGGCCCACGAACUUAGCUGACGACAACGAAUCCGGGAUCCGACCCGAUAGAUUGUUGUGUGACAAAUCAAGCGAAACAAAGUACGUUGUAGACCCGAAAACGUCGGGUAUGGAUCCUUCCAACGCAUUCCGGCUCAAAUUCAAAACACCGAAACCGGAAUUGCUAAGAAGCGAACCGGGGAUUGGACCGGUUAGCGAGUUGCAAUCGAGAUUCAAAAGUGAGAGUACCUUCAUGUUACCCACCCAUUCUGGUAACGGACCCUCGAUAUGGUUCCUGGAUAGAUCCAGAUCUGCUAACCGCUGCAUACCGGAGAUAGAAUCUGGAAUUGACCCGGUUAGUUCGUUACGGGCCAGUAGAGCUCUGCUCAACAUCUUCAACGAUCCGAAGUCGGCCGGGAUGACGCCGGUGAUUCCGUUCUCCGUCAGCUCAAGAUGCUUCAACUCGGUGAGUGACGUCAACGACGCCGGAAUCUCGCCGGACAUUUGAUUCUCCGCGAGGUUUAGAACAGAGAGCUUGGAGAGUUUGCCGAUUUCCGCGGGGAUCUCUCCGGUGAUUCUGUUACCGGCGAGAUCGAGGAUACGGAGCGACGCUAAGGAAGUCACGCACGGAGGAAUCUCGCCGGUGAUACCUUUCCAGUCGGCGAGGACGAGGGAAGUGAGUGCGGUUAAGUCGCAAACCACUGGGUCAAUGGAACCGGACAUAUAACCGGACCGGCCAGCCUUUUGGAAAAUGGCGUCUUCGGAUUCGCCACGGAGAGAAAUAUCAGUGACCCGACCGGAAUCAGGAUCGCAGCUAAUACCGUACCAUUCCUUGCAACAGUCAGUGUUAACAGACCAAGUGUUGAAGAUGCCGAGGUUUGGUUCGCUCAGUGACGACUUGAAAGCAUUGAGAGCCGCCUGGUCUUUAGGAGAGCAGCACCGGACGACGGAGAUAGCCGAGACUAUCAAAACGACGGAGAGUAACGAGCUAAACGGCGAUGCCACCAACAUUCUCAUUUUUUGCAAUAAAUAUACUUUGAUAAGUGAAGAGAGUGGUGUUGUGUAAUGAACCUUUGGAUUAUAUAGAAACGCAGAUGUAAGAAAGGAGAGAGACAUUGCAUGUGCAUGGUAUCAUGGGCAUGUGCAUGUUACUACUACUGAUCUAAUAUAAUUAUUUUACGAACGUAUUCAUAAUUAUAUCUUUAGUUUUGUUGUACUAAAGAGAGGAAUCAUGUGUGUGUGUGUCAGUUUUUUUUUUCUUUUACUUUUAAAAAACAUAUCCGAAUGGAUGGAGUAUCCAACCAUGAUCCGGUGAAUUAUAAGUUAAUCACGUUGAUUUGUUUCAACGGUAGAUUUUGAUACACAUUUAACAAAUCACUAAUGCAUAUAAUGUAUGUGUAUAUACGCAGGGUUAUAAGAUCAUUGCGCUACUAAUUAUGGAGCAUGAAACUUCCUAUUUCCCUAAAGGUUUCUUUGUUUUUGCCAAAUAAUUAAGAGGAUGAUCAAGAUAUCUAAUUUUACUGAAACGCCAAAACUUCACAUCAAUAAAAGCUAUAUAUGACUAAUUAUGAUUGAUAAUUUACCAAUUAUUAGAGACAGCAUUUAAAUAAACCAAAUAUGGUUGGUCCUCCAUAAAUACUUUUACAUGUGACUCAUGUGGUCCUACUACAGAGAACUACAGAAGCAUUUAAGCAUCUCCCCCUGUCCAAACUUUGAUUUUUUCUUUUUUUCUCUCUCCCAUUUUUCUUAUUCCAAACCAAACCUAUCAUUGAUAAAAUUCUUUACAUUUGAUUGAUCUAAUCUUGGUUUACAUGCUACAUGUAAUAUUUUAUUUUUUAACAACUAGUAUAUCAUAUAUAACCUUGUCAUAAUAGUUAUAAUCGGAUUUAUUAGGGAUAUUUCCAGCAUUUAUGACCUAAACAUCGGAAUUUGCGUUGUCUUGGAAUAGACAUGAUUCAACGCCCAUCACAUGCCAAGGAGUCAAGAUCCAUUUUUCUGGAGCUGUCUUUUUUUCUUUAAAUGUUUUAUAUGGCCCUUGCUCGAUACCACAGGAAUAAUCUCAAUCACAAAUUCACAACGGUAGUAAAACCUUUUGUAAUAUAUUAGUGUUAACGCUGUAACUAGCACCCACGACAAGAAUUCAAAUAACGUUUAGCGCAUGCAUAUGUGGAAAUAUAUGGACCAUGUAAAAAUUUCUUAGUUUUCGUUUCGAUUUAAAUUGCGUGAAUUAGUAGUGAUUUUGGAACUAUGGCGUGGAUGAAUUUUUAACUGUUUUUAAUUACUUUUUAGGAUUAUAUAACCUGUUUGCUGACAAGAUAAUUUGAAUUCUCAGGCCUUGGAAAGCAAUGUGUUUUUUUGUCUUUGGCAUAAAAGACAAAUUUGUAAUAGCAUCGGUCUCUCGUGCAUCACUUACACAUUGACGUAUGUUCAUGCUGCAUGCUAAUACAUAAUAAUUAUAAUAAAUAAAAAGACAACGGAAGUAGAUGAUGCAAAUUGCAGAGUCAGUAGUAGAAAUCUUUUCAACAAGUGAUAAUCUCUUUGUAUUGUCCAUAAUAAAACUCAGUUUGCCAAAAAGACCUAUACAUUGGUUUUCAACUCUUCAUUUUUUUCUUUUGGGGAUGAAUAAAAAACAGAGUAGAAAAGGAAAUUUUUGUAUAUAAAGGAAAAAAGAACGAACUUGAAUUGCGUUUUGCAAUGUGUUUAUAUAUAUAUAGUGGAUAUGUAUAUAUAUAAUAUAUAUAUAGAUUGUGGUGAGAGUUGAGUCAAGUGGACGGUCCAGCCAAGUCACCACCGCCUGAGAUGGAGAGGAGAGGUCGGCGCGAAGCACUGCGACUGACGAGAUUUGAAUCAAGAAACACAACUAUGACUGUUAUAUCAUCAUGAAAAUGUCUUCUCACUCCUCUAUCAAUCUUUUUUAAAUCUGAAUAUCUCAUUUCUCUCUUCUUUGCAGCCUCUCUUAGAGCUGUUUUUAUGAGUUUCUUUGCGAUCCCCUGCACACCAACAAGUGCUCAAUCUUUCUACUUGUACACAAAACAAACAAAGGAAAGAGAGAGAGAGAGAGAGAGCUAAGAGGCAAUCAUACAUUGCGUGGGUAUGUGUUUACAAUGUCAACAGCUUCUUGAUUAGUUAAGUGCUCCCACAGACCGUCUGAUGCAAAUAUAAGAAACUGAUCCUCUGGAUGGAUUUUAUGUACUGUAACUGUCGGCUCUGCUCUAAGAAUGGGCUUAUGGAAAACCUCAGGGACUCUAAACUUUGCCAACAGUGGUUCCCGAUUGAAUUCAGCUUUCUUUAAGUAGGCAUCACCUAUCGACCGCGAGACCUUCAAGAACCAACCAAGGGUUAUUUCUAGCGUGAAUUAAUCAUCUUUAUCUUCUUAAAAUGAGGCAUUUGUAAAUCUCUUAUUAUACUUCUCUUGUAAACACACAUAAUUCAUGAGUUGUGGCUUAACUAUAUCUUCCAUUGUGGAGCUAAUUGCAAGAAAAGAGUCUGCAAUUCAGCAACACGCCUUUGGCGUGAAAGUAUAUUUACCUGUAUAAUACCUUUGACUCGCCAAACUUUGUGCUUUAAGACGACAAUUUGAGGAUCAUCUGGAUGCAACGAGCGCAACUCCUCUCUCACAGAUUCAAGACUUGCAUUGUGCUCAGAUGAUAAUUGAACAGCCUUGACAAUUUUAAACGCUUUUUCCAGUCUUCCUAGCACAACCCGAGAAUCCCCAGCAUUCGCAAUGUACAACAAUCCACUACAUAUGAUCCCUACCAAACAACAUGCUCCAACGGAAGCAAUCUGUGGUUUAAUCUGCCACUGUCUCCGCACAAGAGAUAAAAAAUCUUCUUCCGUAGCUAAAAACGCUUUCGUAAUGACAGAAGCAGACAUCCCAUGAUUCUCUGAUGUAAACUCUGCAAUCACAAAGUGCAAGUUAGUACAUAACUGGCCUCAAGAUACAUAAAGAGUAAUUUUAACAAAAAAAAAAGGAAACAACAUACUCCUUAUGUUGUCGAAAAGGUGUUUAUUAACGAACCGGGCAGCCUCAGGACCUCCAUGACCAUCAUAGACACCAACAAAAGUAGCUUGAGGACCAGAAUCAAACAUACUAACGGGUCCAGACUCAAGCUUACUAUGAUCUUCAAGAAGAUUAUUUGCUUGAAUUACAGACAUAGAGAAAUCCCCAGCAACAUGGUUACCAGAAUCUUUAUACCAAAGAAGACCAUCACAUCGUCCAUUAGCGUCAUUUUUUGUUGAAUGUUCUCCCUUCACAGAAGGUCGCCUCCAACAUGGUACUACCAUCCGUAAUAUAGUUGUUGAAGAUACCAUAACUCACAUAAUCCCCUCAAAAAAAUCAAAAAAUCUUUUACUUCAUCUAAGAGAUCACUAACACCACCCAAAACGGAAUCAAAUCAAAUUUUGCUUAUUCCUCCUUCCCUAAACACAAUACAAUUUAAGAAAUAUGAAUCAAUCAAUCUACAUUAUAAAUAUGCAUACCUUGAUCUAUAAACUAGAGCAUUUACCUUUUGUGGAAUCGCAAAAACAAAGCCGCGAAAUGAUUACCGUCCGACCGAACGAAACUAGGAAAGUGGAUGAACAGGAUCGAGACCGGAAGAAGAAGCAGGAGUUACGAUAAGAGGGAAUCGUAACUCCGGUUGGAUUACAAAGAGGGAGAGGGGAAGAAGAGAGAUGACAAACCAAAAAAAAAAAAAAACUAGCAGCGACUCUGUCAGAAUUCCAUAUUUGGGGGUUCGAUUUUCUCUGAAUUUUCUCUCUUUUUUUUUUCUUUUUUUUUUUACUUUUUUUCCAUUUGCUUUCAAGUUUAGCUGUUUAGGCAUUGACCUCAUAAACAACCCGAUGUUUUAGGUAGUUUUUUUCCCAAAUUUAGCAAUGUUUCUCCAUUUUUCAAGAGAUUAUUCAUUUAAUUAAAGAUAUUAUAGUAAAUAGAUUUUAAUCUUUCCUAACACCCGAAUGAAACCCAAAACAAACAAAAAUCCAAUUGGAAGUUGUCCAAUGAUCGAUCAUAAUGAUUCAUCCGGAUGGUCGAAGGAGCAAAACUGAAAAUUUCCACUGCUUAAUGAUUUGUGGUUAGUUAAUUUAAAAUAUCAAAAAUGACUAGAAAGCUAUUCGAACUAGUGGCUCGUGGGUAGCAUUUAAAGCAUGGGUCAGUACUUCUGUCUACGAGGUCGAGUGAUGGAGCACACUUACCAAACCAGAAGAAAACUAUUCGAACUUUUCUUACAUUGUUAUAGAUAGAUAUUAAAAUUUAUAAUCCAGUUAUAGAAAAGGAAAAAGAUAAGCAUUUUCCCGCAAUACAAUCCACUUACGGGGUUGUUGAUUAUGGUCAGGAAAAUAAGACCUCGGCCCAAAACCAUUUGCCUUCCCAUGUCACCACCGCCUUCACACUUCAACCUCCAAGAAUACUAUUAACCCCCAAAAAAUCCAAAAAUCAAUAAAAAAAAAAGGUUAUGUUUGCAAAUUGGCAUGUUGUACGCGCAGCAGCUUUUUUACAACCUCACUCCUCCUCACAGGUCGUUUUUCGUGUGACAAUUUUAACCCGCAAAACCUCCUCUUUCUCUGAUUAAACCCCAAAAAAAAAAUUAAAAAGAAAAUCUAACAUGUCGGAAGACGAACCAAAACAUAACAUACAUGUGUUAUCGGUCCGAAUUAACACCUUUAGUCUUAUAUUAUAUUUUUGGAAGAGAAACAACUUGGCCCAUAUUCCAGCGAUAUCCCUCUCUACCUUCAUAUCUCAAUUAUCUUAUUAUAUAUAUAAAUAAAGUCAUCAUACUAAUAAAUUAGAGUAUACUCAAAGAAAGAAAAAAUCAGAAAUACCCACACACAAAAAAAUCUAUAAAAAAGAAAUGAUGAAAGAGAAAAAAAAAACAUGUAGUUGUCCGCUGUAUGGCGUCAUAAGCCAUUCUAGAAUCAUUGAAAUACAUAUUAAAAUGGCUCUGUAAUUCCACAAAAGCGAAGAGGGUAUUGACGUAAUUGUGACAGAAGACGAGAAAGUGGGGAUGGUGGAAGGAGAGAUGAUAAGAGAUGGGAAACGCGUCUCUCUAUGAGACCCAUAUUCCCCUUUCAUCUCUCUCUCUCUCUCUCUCUUUUCUCUCUUCCAUCUCUCCUUUUAAUUCGAUCUGUAAACUCGCCGGAGGAGGAGCAAGGGCAGAUUCAGAUUCAAUAAAAAGACGAUGGCGCAGAGGACGGAGAAGGAAGAGACGGAGUUCAAAGUACUCGAAACCUUGACGACUACAACGGCGGCGACGUUGUUAUGCACCAAUAACUGCGGCGUUACAGCUAAUCCUGCGACGAACAACAUGUGUCAGAAAUGUUUCAACGCUUCCCUCGUCUCGGCCGCCACAUCCGGUGUUGUUGUCGAUACCGGUUCGAUCUUGAAGAGAUCGGCUAGAUCCGUUAAUCUUCGGUCGUCGCCAGCUAAAGUGGUGAUUCGUCCGAGGGAGAUCGAUGCGGUGAAGAGAGAUCAACAGGUCGUUAACCGGUGUUCUGGUUGUCGGAAGAAGGUCGGGUUGACCGGGUUCAGGUGCCGAUGCGGCGAGCUUUUCUGCUCAGAACACCGUUACUCCGAUCGUCAUGAUUGUAGCUACGACUACAAAACAGCCGGACGCGAGGCGAUCGCUCGAGAAAACCCGGUGGUCAAGGCGGCUAAGAUGGUCAAAGUUUGAAAUUUUUUUAAAAAAUUCGAUCUCAAACCGUUGAAAAAACUUUGGUGGGUGGGUGGUGGUGGUGGUUCAAAGCUCCGAUCUAUAUAACAAACGAUGGGAAAGAGAUGCUCGACAUCGGUUUGAUUGGUGCUGUGUUGUAAAACUGAAGAUGAGAGAGAGAUAGAGAGAUUCAUCCUCCUCUGCUCAAUCCAAAAUCUGAACCUCAUUUUUUUUUCUUUUUUCUUUUCUUCUUAAUUUGCUUAAUUAUUAUAUUAGUGAAUGAUGAUUAUUAUUAUUAUGAUUGUUUGCUUUGGCUUUACGGAUUCAUGAAUUUGUGCUUCUUCUUCGGAUGUGAUCUUCCUUUGAUCAUCGAGAAAUGUGUAUUGUAGGAUUGAUUCGGUAGAUACGAAAGGGGCUGAUUUGGUAAUUUCCUACGAACGUGUCUCUCUCUCUCUCUCCUCUCUCUCUUUCUCUCUCUUUUCUCUCUGGUUUCGUUUCGUGUGGUUUAGCUGUACUUAUCAUCAACGAUAUUUUUUACUUAUUUUAGUCAGUCUUUGUGCAUCACAACUCACAAAGUACAAAAUUUCUCUCGACAAAGUUUACUUGGCGUAUAAUAUAUAGCAGCAGCAGCAACAGCACCCAAUAACGUGUUUGAGUUGUAUCGUCUUCUUCUCUGUUCCACUAUAUUAUAAUAUAUCAAACUAUAAUUUAUACUUUUUAUUUUCUGAUUUGUAUACACAAGAGGUUAGAAAUUAUAUAUGUACAAUAUAACAAGAGGUUACGCAUCUUACAACGAUCCCUUUGUAUAUUGUUUUUCAACUCGAAAAUAUCUUUCGAAUUUAAAAUAAAAAUGGCUACGUAACACUUAACACCCCCCAACAAAUCCCGUUCUAGUUUAAACAUUUAUAUUUUAUUAUUAACUUCUCAUGCAUCUUUUAUCCGAUGAUACGGGAUUUUUAAGGUAGACAACAAAUUACUGUAUAUACUAGAGUCCAACAAGAUCUCAUGCAGCUAACAUUGUGGUCAGAGUCGUUUUAUAUAACAAAUUUAUUUUACAUUUUAGAACCAUCUCUUCAAAGAAUGACGAUUGGGUAAUAUUUUUAAGUGUAAGCCUAGUAAGCAUAUAAUCUCGUGAAAGUUUAUAAAAAUGGUUUCGCAAAUUUUAAUAUUUACAGCAAGUGUAUGUUCGUAUCUNNNNNNNNNNNNNNNNNNNNNNNNNNNNNNNNNNNNNNNNNNNNNNNNNNNNNNNNNNNNNNNNNNNNNNNNNNNNNNNNNNNNNNNNNNNNNNNNNNNNNNNNNNNNNNNNNNNNNNNNNNNNNNNNNNNNNNNNNNNNNNNNNNNNNNNNNNNNNNNNNNNNNNNNNNNNNNNNNNNNNNNNNNNNNNNNNNNNNNNNNNNNNNNNNNNNNNNNNNNNNNNNNNNNNNNNNNNNNNNNNNNNNNNNNNNNNNNNNNNNNNNNNNNNNNNNNNNNNNNNNNNNNNNNNNNNNNNNNNNNNNNNNNNNNNNNNNNNNNNNNNNNNNNNNNNNNNNNNNNNNNNNNNNNNNNNNNNNNNNNNNNNNNNNNNNNNNNNNNNNNNNNNNNNNNNNNNNNNNNNNNNNNNNNNNNNNNNNNNNNNNNNNNNNNNNNNNNNNNNNNNNNNNNNNNNNNNNNNNNNNNNNNNNNNNNNNNNNNNNNNNNNNNNNNNNNNNNNNNNNNNNNNNNNNNNNNNNNNNNNNNNNNNNNNNNNNNNNNNNNNNNNNNNNNNNNNNNNNNNNNNNAAUGCUUGUAGUUAAAUUGAAACGCAAAACGUCCGUCGAAGCAAAUCCCUUUGAUUAAUACUCAGGAAUCGACUCGGUUGCUUUCUUGAUUUCUCCGACAGAAACCCAAACCCUAGCACCACCACCACCGUCGGAGCUCCUACCCGUUCCCGAACUGAAUCGCGCAGUAGGUUAGGGUUUUAGUGGCGUGUUAAUAUAUUCCGAUUUAUUGAUUUCUGGGUCUCUCAUUGCGGUGGAAAAGUUCGGGUUUUUGAUAUAAUCUCGUAAGGGAAAUUUCAGUGGAGAUGGGAAGCGCCGAUCUUGUCGAUGAUCGAACCUUCAAUGGUGAUUUCAGUGAUGGAGGAGUGGCCAAGUUGAAAGAGAUGGUUAAGAUUAAACUCAAGGAGUAUAUGGGCGAUUACACGGAUGAUACCCUAGUGGUACGAUAUAAUUCAACUCUCUGCUCUUCUCAAAAUUUGGAUUUGAUUUUGAGUGUGAAUAUGAAUUUCUGCUCUUGGGUUGGUAAUUAUACACCUAUCGCUCUCCUUGUUCUCAGCUGAUGGUGUUGUUUGUGCUCCUUGUAGCUAGAAUUGCUGAGUCUUGGAAUAUAUGUUUAUUGUGCCUUAAUGCUUUUUGAAUUCAAAUGGGCUUGCAGGAAUAUGUGAUAGUUUUGCUCAGAAAUGGGAGAAGAAAAGAGGAAGCAAAUAAUGAAUUGAUGAUAUUUCUUGGAGAUGAUAGCGACUCUUUUGUGGCCUGGUAUUAACAUAUUUCUUACCCUUAUGAAACAAAAUCCAUUGCCCUUGUAUGUAAAAAUUCAAAUUCAUAUUCACUAGGAGGAUAUAUACAGGUUAUGGGAUCAUCUGGCUGAAAGUAAAGAUGAAUAUUUUAAUUCUCAUGUUGAGGAAAGUACCAUUAAAAGCUCACUGGUAAGCAGUCAGAAUGAGGAUAAAGCACUUGGUAUUAUGGAUUCUGAAUCUGAAAAGGGACGAUCACGCCGCGGUAGACAAUGGAGGAGCCAGCCAACUAAUGCCUCUGAGAUUCCUCCUCUUCUGAGUUCUGAGGUUCACAAAAUUCAUAACUACGAGAAGAAAGAUCAUAAACACCGACAUAAUAAAAGGUCUCCAUCUCCGCAGUCUCAAUCCCACAGGAAAAGGUCUAGAACUGAUGACUCGCGGAAUGAACAGGUCUGUAUUUUGUAGUUGUCUUGUCUGUUGAAUAGCAAUCACUAUCAUGCAAUACUUGGAUUGGAAUUAUGCUAAAAUAGUUUUACUGGAUGAGAUGUCAUAUCUUACUGUGAAGACGUUCUCAAAGUAAAAUUUGGGGCAGGGCACCUUUGCGCUCUGCAUUUUAUGGGACUAACAUGUCCGACAUUCUUAAUGACCGUAACUUAGUGUUGUGGGGCAACCUUGUCCCAGUCCGUUAAUGCAUGUCUUGCAGUAAAGCGAUGUUGCGGAUACUGGUUAUAGUUUUCUCAUUUUGUUUUCUUUGACUUGUUUGACAGAGGGAAGCUAAACCUGAUGUCUCUCGCCGGCUGCUUCAGUUUGCUGUGCGAGAUGCACUAGCUAUAUCCAAGCCAGCAAAUAUUUCGACUGAAUCCUCAUUAAAACGUCUUCGCUCAGUGGUGUCCACAUCUACUCAAGAAUCAUCUGACCCCGACCCAGCUCGGAAAAUUCGAUCUGUUGCUAGAGUUGUAAAUCCCUUGGCCUCUGUAAUGAAAGCUGUUGCCGAAGCAGCUGAAGAUGCCAAAAGACCAAAAACUGGGAGAAGUGUCUUUGACAGAAUUAGUAAUUCUACUGGAUUGUCUGAGACCCAGGACCAACACAUGGUACUUGGUGAAGUUCCCUUUAAGAAUGAAGAAUAUAGGAAUAUUAGCGAUGAUCAGGAAUCGGUACAUCAUCAAUACGCACAUCGUCUUGACAACAAUGGAGUGUAUGUUGAGAACAUGUCAACUUUUGACACUGGCUUGCAGCCAAAUUUUUUGUCUGAUCGAGGCAGACAUGGUUCAAGUGCUAAUUUGCCUCACCCAAGUACUUUUCUUGGGAACAGAAUUAACAAUCCAAAUAGUCUGCAGCAUCGUUUAGUUGAUGACCCAAAAAGAGUUAAAGGGACAGCAAGUUUCUCUGGCAAUAUAGAUACUGGGAAAACAGUAAGGUUAGAGGAGCAAAUGAAAGUACCAGAUGUGGGUCUGCAAAGAUAUAUGGACGAANNNNNNNNNNNNNNNNNNNNNNNNNNNNNNNNNNNNNNNNNNNNNNNNNNNNNNNNNNNNNNNNNNNNNNNNNNNNNNNNNNNNNNNNNNNNNNNNNNNNNNNNNNNNNNNNNNNNNNNNNNNNNNNNNNNNNNNNNNNNNNNNNNNNNNNNNNNNNNNNNNNNNNNNNNNNNNNNNNNNNNNNNNNNNNNNNNNNNNNNNNNNNNNNNNNNNNNNNNNNNNNNNNNNNNNNNNNNNNNNNNNNNNNNNNNNNNNNNNNNNNNNNNNNNNNNNNNNNNNNNNNNNNNNNNNNNNNNNNNNNNNNNNNNNNNNNNNNNNNNNNNNNNNNNNNNNNNNNNNNNNNNNNNNNNNNNNNNNNNNNNNNNNNNNNNNNNNNNNNNNNNNNNNNNNNNNNNNNNNNNNNNNNNNNNNNNNNNNNNNNNNNNNNNNNNNNNNNNNNNNNNNNNNNNNNNNNNNNNNNNNNNNNNNNNNNNNNNNNNNNNNNNNNNNNNNNNNNNNNNNNNNNNNNNNNNCAAUAAAUCUGUUCCUGGUGAGUUUUUAAAUUAUAUCAGUCUUAAGCUUUUUGAAGAUUCAUGGGUUUGGAAUUUCUUUCUUACCUUGGCAAACUCACUUCUUUGGUUCUUGUUGAUGUAAUUCUAAUGCAUAAGUUUAUAUUCUGGCAUUUGCAGGGACAUUAUCCACUGCCCGACCUCUGGAAGAUGCUAGUUCUCGAACAAUUUUUGUCGCCAAUGUAAUAAUUGUUUAUUGUUUAUUUACCCUUACACUGGAAUUGAGGCAAAACUUGUCAAUUGGUUAAAUAUGAUUGGUCUUAAAACAGGUUCAUUUUGGUGCUACCAAGGAUAGCCUUUCAAGGCAUUUUAACAAGUUUGGUGAAGUGCUUAAAGCGAUCAUAGUUACUGAUCCAGCAACAGGACAACCAAAUGGGUAAGUUUCAUGACAAUUAUUGUCAUGGUAUGUCACAGUUCAGUCAUGGGGGACCUUAGUGACCAAAGUUGAUUUUCCUUUGCAGAUCAGCAUAUAUCGAGUUCACGCGCAAAGAAGCUGCAGAGAGUGCGUUGUCUCUGGACGGUACCUCUUUUAUGUCUCGGAUUCUCAAGGUACAAAUUGGAAACCCGUGUUCAAGUUUUACCAUUGCAACUAUCGUUAUGAUCUUUAGGAUUGGUUAGAAUCUUAGCUGGAUAAGUACUCAGUUGUGUGUAUGUUUGAUGGAUGCAGAUUGUGAAAGGAAGCAAUGGGCAACAUCAGGAGGCUGCAUCAAGCAUGACCUGGUCCCGAGGGGGAAGGUUCACAAGAGCACCUGCAUACUUUAGAGGUGGUGCAUUUAGAGGACGUUCUGUUUCGAGGGCUGGAUCAAGGAGUAUGCAAUGGAAGCGUGAUUCUGCUGACACAGGAAACAACAACACUGCAGCUGUAGCCCCCAACAAUGCUCGUAGUCUCACAUACGUCCGAACAGAGUCGAGAUCAGACGGAAAUGCCAACGAUUGAAAGAGAAAAUAGAGAGGCAAGAGCUUAGGCGAAAAGGAAGAUUGAGUUUUAUCAUCUUGCCUUUCGGAUAUUAAUCUCAAUUGGUUUUUCUUUUUUUUUUUGGGUCUCUGAAACAGCUACUACAAAACGUUACUUGUAUCGACUUCUAUGCUUGUUUUAUCUUUUGGAUUAUAAAAUGAAGAAAACAAAAAUAAAAAUUGUAUUUUCAUAGCUCUCUUUAUGGUGAUAACAAGAGGAACAGGUUCCCAACACACAAGCCAACAACGCACAAGAUUGAAACAAGACGAGCUCUAACGAACAACAAAUUGAGAUUCUUAGCGACCUGAAGUGACAAAGUAAGAAUCUGCAACCUCCCUAGCUCUUCCAUCUUCUUGAAGAAGUACAUUGGCUUCAGUGAUCGUCUCACCAUCAACGCCAUAGCAAACGGGAAUCCAAACGCUAUACAGCUCUGAAUUGUCAUUUCCUUCAUCGGAUCUGAUCUAGUUGCAUACAAAAUCGUAGCUCCCACGAUCAGCUGAGUUAAACCCAGAGCACCCAUAGCUCCACUGAGACUGUACAUGUUCUUCAUCAUCCCUUCCAACACUUGCCUCGUCUCAUUUCCCAACGCCGACAAAUCGCGUUCCACCGUUGGCCCUUCGAUCUCUUGGUGCUUCAUCGUUGGCUGCUCGUCAUCUGGCUUCGACUCCUCUGGCUUCUUCGGCUCGACAUCCCCGCUUGGCGUCGAGAAAUACCUCGGUGACCAUGUUUCAGAUCGAAGCUUGUCGAUGUUGAAAGCAGAAAAGGAUCUUAAGAGACCUAGCUCCUGAGCUACCGAUCCGUGGAUCAGAUGGUUUCUGAUGGGAGACGAGGAUUGGAGAUGACGGCGAGUGACGUAGAGAGAUGGAGAAGACAAGGGCUUGAGGAAUUUAGAAACCAAUCGACGAGAGAUCAUCAUCGCCGUCGCCGUCGUAUUCUACACAGAGAAGAAGCUCAACGUAAUUAGGUUUUGGCUUAUUGCCAAUUUUGGUGAUUUCAUGGGCUCAGUCUUUUUCCAUUUGACCCAAUCCUUAAGUUACAGCUCUUCUAUCCCCAUACUAGACAAGUCAACGGUAUAGAUCAAUUUAAACCGGAUUCUUUGGUUUAAUCUGUCCAACGAUUAACAAAAUUUUGGGCUAAAUGUUGUAACAAGAGUAGCUCAAGAUCCCAUUAUUCAUCAACAAGUGGCUUACUCUGAAGUGAGUAUCGAUAUCAUUUAAUUGAGCAAGUAUAAUCGGUUCCGACAAGUGCUCUUAACCCAAGACAACAACACAAAGUUUGGAGAAACACCCUCUCUUCCCCAUGCCUUAAUAAAGAAACACAAUUCAAAUUUUCUCUAUAAAGCUCACAGCCAAAAAGGCACAAACAAUUUAAAAAAGAAAAGCUGAUCAAUCAAAACCACAAUAAUGUCUUCUUCACUCACUCUCUUCUUCUUUGUUUCCACAUUCCUCUACACUUCAUCAAAUUCAUUCAACAUCACUAACAUCUUAAACGAGCACGAUGAUUUCUCCACUUUCAACAACCUUCUCUCCGAAACUCAACUUGCUUCUACCAUCAACAAGCGUCAAACCAUAACCGUCCUUGUGGUUUCCAACGGCGCACUCUCUUCCCUCUCCGGCCAACCAACCGACGUCGUGAAGAAGAUCCUCAGCCUUCACAUCGUUUUAGAUUACUACGACCAGAAGAAACUCAAGAAUCUGAGCAAGAAGUCUGUACUCCUCACCACUCUUUUCCAAUCAAGCGGCCAAGCCAGAGGCCAACAAGGGUUCUUGAACGCUACCGUUAUGACAAACGGAGACGUGGUGUUUGGAUCUGCGGUUCCUGGAUCUGAUCGUAACUCUCAGCUUCUAGACUCUGUUGCCUCACUACCAUUUAACAUCUCGGUGCUUCAUAUUAGUAGUGCUAUAAUGAUUGAUGUUAAAGCUGAUAACGCACCUACUGCUUCUCCUUUGUCACCGGUAUCAUCUCCACCACGCCCUGCACAGUCACCUAAUGGUGAUGAUUAUGACGAGCCACCAUCCUCUGCUCCGGGAGCCGCUGCUGAUGGACCUUCUUCCGAAAACGCGGACUCUGCCAAUAGAGUUUCAAGGAUCGAUUCCCUGCCUGCACUGGCCUUUACGCUGUUGAUGUCAUCCAUUUGGCUGUUCAUGGCUUGAAGACCACGAGAAACACAGUGCAAGAACUAAAUAGAUUAGUUCAUGUCUUGGAAGGAAAGCCAAAAGAAAAAGAUACAAAACAGACUCAGCUCGGGUGACAGUAAAAACACAAGAACACAAAAAAAGACCAAGCUUGCCAAAAAAUUUGGGGAGAAUUAAUUGCAUGAUACGAUAAUAAAGAUGGAAAAAUUUGUAAAACUCAAAAAUUCUUGGACUAAUUGUUUACAAAACACAAACUGCAAAUUUUUGUUAAUGGUGCCUCGUUGUCUGGUUGCAUCGAAUAAAAUAGACGACGGCACAAAGAAGGGGAAAAAUAUCGUGUAGACCAGAAGAGAAACUAGAUAAUAGAUUUUUUAUUACUUUUAGCUAUGAAAGGCAAAAAGCAACCCAAGAACAGGAAGCACAUUCAUAUCCAUGUCCAUACCCUAAUAACGAAACCCAACACAAGUCUUUUAAGACAAGGAAACAAAACUCAGGGACUAUACAUGUAGACUGGCUUAUAGUAAAGCUUUGAUUGAAAGCAGAAAAAAAAAAACUUUUAAAAUGCAGUAAAGUUGUUCCUUUCUUGAGUCAGUGAUGAAGCCCAUUUCCAUUGCUGUACAUAUUGCCGUUCUGGUGAACUUUCCCCACUGCAGUUCCAUUGGCUACUCCAUUUUUCGAAAUUUUGUUCACCUUGCCACCUGUUUGCAAAACUGAUUCUAGACACCCCGACGCUGCUGCGAUCAGACCUGUGGUAUCAAAGUGUUUCUUAGUAAGCCACAAAACACCAUCAACACAGAAUCUUACAAUUGUGCUCUAUCCAACUAUAAUCCAGAAUUUACCUAGAAACAAUGCAGAAGGUUUUCCAGGUCUGGAUUUGAACUCAGGAUGGAACUGAGCACCCACAAAGUAUGGAUGGGUUGGUAGUUCUACAACCUGCACACCAAGCCAGCAAAACAAUGAAGCACACCAAGCCACAAUCACGAAAGCAUUCAUAUAUUGUUCACACUCAAACUGAGUCACACAUCCAACAGGUGUUCCACGACCAUAUUACCUCCAUACGACGCCCAGUCUCAUCUUUCCCAACAAAAGAGAGGCCAGCCUUCUCAAUUUCUGGUAUCAUAUCUGGAUUUACCUGCGAAAAUUACAUAUACUUCACUUUCAACAACUCACGAGAAAUCUCAAGGAAAAGAACAUGUAAAACAGAAGCUGAAAUAUUACCUCAUAUCUGUGCCGGUGUCGCUCAUCAACAAACUUUGCAUUACCGUACCUGAAUGAAGUGAGAAGUUAUAUAGGUUUUUGAACUGAAUUCUAUGAGUGAUCAUGUGCUACUGUAUCUUUAAUGAGUUGCUUACAGCUUGGCAGACUUGCAAUCAGCAACCUGGAAGUAAGUCCUCCUUGACCCUAAGCGCAUUGUCCCCCCCAUAUGAGUUGUGGAUCCCUAAAAAGAGAUUGAAGAAGUAUAAGCAGCUACUCAGUACAUGAAAAGCAUGUAAUCAAUCAAAUGACAGGGCCAGAUGGUCUAGUACUUCUGGCAUAAAUAUGACGCAAGGGCUUGAAGUUUCUGGUUCAAACUCUGUGCUGUUUGCAUCAUGAAAACCAAGAAUGGAGCGGGCAAAUUCAACAACAGCCAACUGCAUUCCCAGACAUAUGCCAAGGAAAGGAACUUCAUUUUCACGGGCGUACUUUGUAGCAAGUAUUUUCCCUUGCACUCCUCUAUCACCAAACCCUCCUGGUACUAGGAUACCAUCAGCAACCUGCAACAAGCAAAAUGUUGAGUCAAAGAUAUUUACCGAGUUGGUGUGCCAGGCUCCAUUAAAAUUGACCUACCUUCAAAAGAUCCCAUGCAGCUUUAUGGACAUCUGGCGCCUGCAGCAGUAAUUCAGACAAAAGCUCAUGAGACUUAAUACAUUUGCCAUAUCCUGAGAGCAACAAAAACCAGACUCACCUCCUGUGCAGUUAUCUCUUCAAGGUCACUGGCUGCAACCCACUCUAUGGCAAGCUUCUUGUGACAUGCAACGGAAGCAUGCAAAAGGGCCUGCAGUGAAAAGGGUGCCAGACAAGUCCCAUUUUUUAAGAAUCCUCAAUGUUAGUCACAGUUGUUAAAUAAAUGAUGUACAAACUAAAGAUUGGGAGUUUAAAUGAAUAACAGAUUUUUGGUCUGUUUAAGACCACGCAGAUCCAAUUACCUUCAAUACGGAAAGGUAAGAAUCAGUAAGGCCAGUGUACUUUCCAACCAUAGCUAUCCUCACCUGAAAGAGAAGACCAUUGAGAAUGAACAAUGGUCUUGAUUAUAUAGACACUCUGGCAUUCAAAAAUAUUAAGAAAAAGUUGACUAACAGGAUCUUGCAGUGUGUCAUAAAUUUUAGUUCUUGCAGUCCAUUCUGCCAAGUCGGGCUUUACAGCAUUACUGCAGAAGAAGCAAAUGUCAAACAACUAGAAAAAGUCAUCACAGCCAAGCUGAAUUCUGGAGCCUAAAGCAAACAUCAAUUGGCCGAAGGGGGCAAAGGAUGGAUCUCAGGUUUAGCAAAGUCACACUUUAUUAUUUACAAUUGAGGAGGUGCUGCUGGGGCCGGGCAAUAAAAUUUACACUUAGAGACGAAGAAAGAAAAGAAAAGAUGGUUCAGAGACAAACCUAAGAAGGUUCAACUCUUUUAGGAUAGCUUCGUGAGCCUUUUGAUCCUAUUCAAGAGAAGUUAACACCAAAAGAAUGAUAAGAAACAAAAUUCAGCAAAGGAACAAACUCAAUUAAUUUCGUAAGUAUAAUACAAGCGAAAUUUCGUAAGUACAAUACAAGCGAAAUGUACUUACCCUUAAAAGCAGCGGAACGUGCCAAAUAUUUGGAACAUCAUAGAGUGUUACAAUAUUUACUUCCUAGGAAACCAUAGAAAAGCAGACAUAAUGUUUAUUAGGACAGGGGUCUUUUGAUGAGAGAUCUGACCCCUCUGAUCUAAGAAGAGCAAAUAAAAACCAGAAUUUCAACAAUAUAUACCGGCACAUGGCAAAAUUGAGAUAGUUUUGUCUUGACAUUUUCUUCAAGUGCCUGUUACAAAACAAGAAUUGAUAGGUUAAAAGCCAAAUUCCAUAGCUAACAUCAACCUUAAAGCACAUGAAAAUAUUGGAGCGCCCAUUACCUUUGUGCUGCGACAUGCUAGGAUAUUUGGUGUCAAACCAAGGCUCCUGAGACCUCGCACACUAUGCUGGGUUGGCUUUGUCUUCUGCAAUACAGAUGUUCCUAUUUCGUUGUUACAUACUAACAAAAUAGAAGCUCCAUGGAAGAUAACAAUUAUAAAGGCAAUUACCUGUUCACCAACAACACUGAGAACAGGCACAAGGCUGACAUGAACCAAGCAGAAAUUACCAGGUCCUAACAAAAAAGACAGAUGCGGUGAUUGAGCUGAUUAGCAAUAGCCUAAGAAAACUACUGAAAGUUCAAAAAUUAAUAUAAAGUAGCACCACUCACCAACUUUAUACGAGAAUUGACCAAGGGCCUCAAUAAAGGGCAUCGAUUCAAUAUCACCUGUACAUAACAUAAAAAUUAACAAAAGCCACUCUUCUGAGCAGUUGUCAGGAAAGGUAAUAUAAUCCAACAAAUGGUACCUAUAGUCCCGCCUAGUUCGAUUACACAUACAUCAGGAGGACCUUCCUUCCCAUCAACAGGAACAUUAGCUACACGCUCAAUCCACUCUUGGAUUGCAUCAGUAAUAUGAGGAACCACCUAAAGGAAAAUUAAAAGCUUUGUUCAAACACUAAAUCAAAUUAGAACGAGAGGAAUUCAAGUACGAUCACAGGUAAAUAAUGUAUGAACCUGUACAGUUCUUCCUAGGUAGUCCCCUUUCCUUUCCUUGUCAAUGACUGACUGCAAAAACGAGAGCACAGAAAUUCGUAACCAAGUUCUAACAAGAGAUAACUACUGAGGUAGAUAUACCUGGUAUAUCUUUCCAGUUGUGAUAUUGUUGUCACGGGUCAGUGUACUGUCUAAAAACCGUUCAUAGUUUCCAAGGUCAAGGUCCACCUGGAAAAAGUCUCAAUGCAAACAGAUUGAGGGGAAUCAUUACUUAAGAUAAUAUGAAAAUCCAGGACAUAAUAAUCACAACAUGACAUACCUCACCACCAUCAUCCAAUACAAAUACUUCUCCAUGCUCAAACGGAGACAUUGUUCCAGCGUCAGUGUUAAGAUAAGGAUCUGCAAACAAGGAAUGCAACUGUUGGGAAGAAGGAUCACAUAGCUACAAAAUUCACUGAAAUUAGCCGCACAAUACAAGUCGUUUCGUUACACAACAAAAGGUGCCCCUUUUCUCCGGAUUAUUGGUUCGGAUAAGAAUAAGACAGCGUGUUACAUGCAAUCCAAAGGCAAGAACCUCACCAAUUUUGAUAGAAGUGACACGAAGACCACAUGCUUGAAGGAGAAGUCCAAUGCUACUUGCAGUGACACCUUUGCCAAGACCACUCACGACUCCUCCUGUCACCAAAACGUACUUCAUAGUCGUUAAGCUCUGCUUCGUCUUCUUCACCUGAAUCAUCGAGAACACAGAACACGAUAAGCAAAGACGAGACUUUGAGAGGAGUUAUCUCUGGCCAACGAAGAGGAGAUUCUUGGGUAUGAGUCAAAAACAAAGAAAGCGAGAAGAAGAAAUUUCACGAAUUCUACCUUUUGCUCCAACAAAAAUGGCUUUCAGGAUUUUCAAGGCGGCGGCUAAGCUAUAACCUGCGAGACCUCCUCACUCUUAUAUUUAAACCCAAAAUGAAAACCAAUACAAAUUAGUUAUAUUUAUUUUUAUUUAUUAUUUUUAAUCUCUCUACAUCAAAGAGUCAUUAACAACAAAACUUCGUUUUAUUUACAGAACUAACAUUUGGGUUUUGACUGAGCGACAAAACUAAGAAAGGGACUGAAACGGUACGUUUUCAAUACCAUGGUCAAUUUAUAUUUUUCUGCUUACUCUUUUUAUUAGUCUUUUGUACCUUCAGAAACCUUGAGAUUAAAAUUAAAAUCUAGGGUUUGUUGUGUGGGAAGGUUCAAGGUUGCAUAAAAUUUUUGUAAGAUAAGCCCAAAAGAGAGUGUUUUGGAUAGAAGUCUAUAGGAAAGUGUGCACACAUAUUUACCCCCACAAUCUAAAUUGAUCUUAUAAAAAAAGAAAAGUUGAAAAGAAGUGAAAGGUAUCAAACUUUUUUUUUGGAGUCAAUCUCCUCAUUUUGCCACUUUCAUUAUUUGUCGUUAUAUUAUUAAUAGAGGUGUUCACAUGUUUCAUCAAAGGAACAAAAACUUGAGCAGUCAAACAAGUCCCCCCCAUUAUUCCUCCUUCGCAUUUGUUUCAUGUCUUGUUUCACUUUCAUGUCCUCUUCUUCAACUUACAACAGCAAAAUAUUGGACCCACCCUUUUGAUUUUAGAAGUUAGCACCGACAUGUUUCUUGCUGAAGAAGCAUGUUCUCCAUGCACUGGCUCUCUGUCACAUCUUGUUGACACGUAUUGGUUCAUCCUAUUGGGGAGAUUGGUCCGAGUUUCGAAAAAAACAAAUUACCAAGGAAACGAUGUUUACGAAGAGAACCUACGUAAUCAAACGGAGGAUACAACAGGUAAAGUAUUGAAUCAUUGAGGAGAAAAGAAGAAAUGUUGCUGGUGAAGACAGUAGGAACAACUUUGCCUUUAUGAGCUCAACUGAGCAAAUAGUAAGAUGGGAAUUUUACUCUAGCUUUCCUUUCCGUUUGAGGAUGAUAAAGAGAACCCAGGAGGGUGAAGCAAUUUGAUUUUUGAAACGAAACAGAUUAAGAACAUACAAAGUAAACUAAGAUUACAACACAAUAUCAUCUUAUCAUACACAAAUCUGGGAAACUCAUUGAGUAGUGUCCGCUGCUCCAGCAGCAUCAGCUUCUGAAGUGGUCUUAGCCAUCACCUCACCUGGAGGAGGAUGGUCAAACUUGCAUGUUGCUCCGAAUUUGCAUGUCCCUGUCUUCAUGUAAUAAGGGCAAUUGACCGCACCCUGCAACAGUUUUAUUUCAUAUGAGAUUACCACACAAACUCGUAACAUUGUUGAUUUAAUUCUAAUAAGACCACUGUGUAGAUACCUCUCUUCUGGGAUACCCUGCAAGACUCAGCUUUACAUUUGGUUGUUGAGGAGCUUGUUUGGUCGUUGCACUUAAUCUAUCUGCUGGGUGAUGGAACCUGCAUCUCUCUCCAAACUUGCACUCCCCUGUCUUCAUGUAGUACUAUAAUAUUGGAGAACAAUGCUUUUUGGUAAGUCCAACCAACAAGUAAGAGCACAGCUCAACAAUCUCAUAAAGAAACAAGAAUACCCACAUCACAUUCUGAUUGUCCAGGUCUUUGCGGAUAAGUUGCUGAAAGCCCUCCAAGCUGCAACAAGCUCAACUUUAUUUUAACCACUAGCAACUUAGGAAGAGGUUUUGAAUAUUUCCUACAACAUGAAUGAAAGGCAUUUACCGUGGGUUGAGACAAAGUCUGAUAGAGGGAGGUAGCUGGGGUAACCAUCCCAAGGUUUAAAUUCGCAGCAUUCGACGAAAGUAGAGAAUAGUUUAUCCCAGUAGCUUGGGGGAUGAAUGCUGUGCAAAAAAUCAAAACAUCACCCAUCAUGAGAAUUAAGAAAUGAAAGUGAUACGUCAAAGACUUUAAGAACGACAAAUAUUGAUAUGGUCACAAACCAGUCCUCUCAGGGUGAUUGUAGCGGCAAGUGGCACCAUACUUGCAGCUGAUUGUGGAAAUGAGAAACCAAUUAGAACAUUAAUGUCAUGGUUUUAUUUGCAAGGUUCUAACUUAUAACCAACGGACUAGUAUUGUACAACAGGUAAUUCACCUUCCAGUUUUGAGAUAGAAUGGGCAAUCCACUUCACCCUGCAAAAGCUACAGUCCAGUUAGUGAAACUUCAUUUUAGAUCUCAGAAAAGGUCAGUACAUAAUGCUAGCAAACCAUCUUCAUAAGUUCUGAGUAUAGUGCCUAUAAGACACUAGAAAGUUUCACCAAUUGUGCCUAUAAGAUAAUAGGUCAGUCUCAGGCAACGUGACGAUGGAUGGAUUCAUUACCGGUCUUACAGGUAGUCCUUUUGAGUUAUGAUACAAUGCUGGGGUAAAUGUGACAUGCGGAUUGUUUGUGGCAUCAGGAUCACUAGUUAACCCCUCACUGCUACCAUUAUCUUGACUAGAUGAUGGUAUCUGGAUAUCCUUUGGAUGGUGGAACUUGCAUGUUAAACCAAAUUUACAUUUUCCAGUCUUCAUGUAGAACUGAUGCAGGAAAGAAACAUUGCUAAAUUAAUAAUAGAAAAUAGUUUAAUAUGUCAGAAAAUUUACAAAAAAAAAAAAAAAAAAAAAAAAACGGAUAGGUAUUAAUGAGUUUAUUAUGCGUAUAUCUUACUGUGCACAUAGGUUCAGAAGGCCUCUCAGGCAAUGCAUCUUGAUUCUCAACAGUAGCCUGCAAUAUAUAAGAGCAUAAUGCUUUUAUGUGCAUGCACAACCCAGGAAAAAACUAAAGUAGCACAUAUUACAAGCGCAAGAUUUCAUGCGAGUGUCUGUCUGCAGACAAAUACACAAAUUGAGGGAUAGUAUCAUCCAAAAAAUGGACAAUUCACUUACUGCAGCCUCAGCUCUCGGAUGAUUAAACUUGCACCUUGAACCAUAUUUGCAGCGUUGUGUUUUUAUAUAGUACUGGACAGCAGUGAAAUAAAAAGAUAAUCAGAUCCUCAGGUAAAACAUAAACAAUCUAGCUCAAAAAAAAAAAACUACGAACAGCUUACAGGACAAUCUGGUUCUCCUGGUCUCUCAGGGUACUCUUCAUUUGGAACAACUGGUGCCUGAAUGAAAAGAUUUUCAUAAGCAAAAACAAUCAUAUCAUUUUUAUCAUGGAAUGCCUAGACAAUGAGUAUGAUGCCUCUUCCAAUUCAAGGAAUGAUUUGACAAAGGGAAAAGCAAGGAUAGCACACACAGUCGCAGAAGCGGAAAGCUCAACUGUUGAAGCACAAUCAAGAUACCAUAUACCAUGUCUAUGUCUAUACUUUCAUAACAAUGUAGUAAAGCUAUGACCUCCGAGACCAAGCAAAAACUAUAUAUAUAGUUAGAAAGUAAUUAGGCACAAACUCCGGUAGUAUAAAACAUAUAAUUACAUAACAGAAUAUAGAGAAACGUUAUCAUAAUAAUGUAAAUAUCAUAAGGGCAUAAGAAAUACUUAGAUAGUAGUAAACGAUCACCUCUUUCCAAUCUGGGAUUCCGCCCUCAGGAACCCAAACAGGAUGAUCAAACUUGCAGCUAUCUCCAAAUUUACAUGUUCUUGUUUGCAUAUAGUGGGUACAAUCCUUCUCCCCUGCCCUCUGUGGAUAUAUAGGCAAGUGACUCGUACUCUCCAACUUAGGGCGCUUGGUAAAAUAGUCUGUAGUAUACCAAGCUUCGGUUUGACCAAUUGUAUUAUGGGCACCCAACAGAGUCGGAUAGUAGAGCGCUAAAUUACAUAAUAAACAAUAAUAUACAACGAAAUGAGAAGAUAUAUACUGAGUAUACGUAUAAUCUGAAAAUAAAUUUGGGGUAAUAAAUGUAGGAGAUACUACAGCAGAAACCAAAAUAGAGCACCAAUCUUAUCUUUAUUUAAACUUACAGUAAGAUAUUAUGGGUUACACACAAUCAUUUUUGAAAGUCUAUUGGAAACCAUAGAGUUACAACAAAACAGAUCAUCAAUCAAUUCUGCAAAAUUACUUAGGUGUUCAACUUAAAACAUCGAGGUCGAGUUUAGAAACAAUUGUCUUCAGGCAUUUCUAAACUCUAAAUCAACGAACACUUAAUCAAGAACACCACAAUAAGCUAUAUAGUUUGUAGAUGUAAUUCGAUCUGAAUACUUGCAUCUCCUUAGAGAGUUGAUUAUGAUUCUAACUUAGUGUCCAAACACAAAACAAAGCAGUAGGCCAAACCAAUGCAACCUCUAUUAUAGCCAAGGAGAAAGCACAAAUGAACACAAACCAACAAUACUUGUGCUUGAGAAAAUGUAAAGUAAGAUCUCUCCUAGAAAGAAAUAAACCAAGCUAGAGAGUAGAGACCAGGAUUAAAGCUAUGUUUUUUACGCAGCAAUUGAAGAGACCUGAAGUUUAAGGUUUCCUCUAUGUCCAGGGGGAUCAGAAUGAGCAGAUAAAAAGGAAAGCUAAAGUCUUUAAAAUUUCCAAAUUAUAAAGCAUAGUUUUUUCAAGCAAUAAAUACGAAAAUGAUGCAGAUCUCAGAACAGUAAGGAAAAAACAAGAGCAUACCUUCAGAGGUGCGUUUGACACCAGGAGGAAGAGGCUCGACGGCGGAAGCAGCAGCGGGAACCUCAACACCAGGCGGCCAAGCAGCUUCCUGAUGCUGAAGCAGCUGCGGAUAUCCCAAAUGCGAUGCCGUCGUGUUAGGGAGAUGGUGAUACAUAGCGGAAGACGAUGCAAGAGUCCCUGAAUUGUAGUUGCUCAAAGCUUCGGAUCCGUCACGAGCUAAGAAACGAAACGUGGUAUCUGGAUAAUAAUGGUCAACAGAGGAGGAACCGUAGAGAGAGGAAAGAGCAGUUUUAGGCGGCUGCGGCUGCGGCGGAGGAGCUGGAGAGACGGCAGAGGCAGCAGCGUAGGAAGGUUGAUGAUGAAGGGCGUAGCUAUACAAUUGACGAUGUGCCAUUCGAUUGCCAAAAAGAAACCCUAAAGGAAAGCUUUCUACCUUUUUUGGUGUCAAAUUGUGUUGUGGGGUUUACUUUUUUAAUUGUUCCAAGUCUAAGCAAACGCAGAACAACCAACGAAAACAGAACAUUUCUCAGAUCCAUUUAAACUGAUUUUGACAUUUAACCACUGAUUCUGUUUAAUUGCAAUUUGGAAAUCCAUUAUUAAAUUCUCUUUCUUUCUUUUAUCAACGAACGACACUCAAAAAUAAUUAAGUUUGUGAGCUUUUUUUUACAUAAGGGAAUAAACACUGAAGGUCACUAAGAAACCAAACAAAGCCCCUGCUAUGACUUCAACUUCAGUGUGUCCUAUUGAUUCUUUCAAUGGUGCAGAAACGUCCUCACUGAUCUCAUCCGAUUGUAAAACCUUGUUAGAUUCGUUUUCUUUCAGACUCAUCACCUCACUUCUUUGACCAUUAGCUGUUAGUUUGUUCAACACUUUCGCAUGUUUUCCAACUUCUCUCCUCACCCCCUACAAUGAGACAACCAAAUCAUAUACAUGAGACAACACUGAAAUUCAUAUCCUACAAGCAAUAACUAAGGCCUGGAUCAGACACUGAGGAGAACCAACCAAGAGGUAUGCUAACACUUUUAAUUCAAAAGCCAGCCUCAGCUUUUCUCUAUAGAUCAGCCUACUUGUUCAAUGCAAGUUCGAAUUUUGAGGAGAAGGGGCAAAUUACCUGGGCAUCAUACAUGAUAAGGCCAGCAUAAACCACAGUCAGACCAAAUAUGGAGUCAGCAAAUCCCCUGAGGCCAAACCAUAUUUAGGAAAUUCCAUAAUGUGGAUAUAUUUGGGGGAAUUGAGAAAAGAAAGGUUCAAGCUAAGCACCUUUCAAAAGCAAUUGCAGUUGCUGCAGCCACAACAGACUGGUUUCCCAAGAAUCAGGCCAAAAAUGUCAGAGAAAUAGAUCAAACACAAUUAUCAGAGGAGAAGAGAAAGAAAAAGAAGCUUACUGAUGAAUGUGUUGAAGGGAAACCUCCAGCUUGAAGAACACUUUUAAAUUCCAAUUUUUUCCCAUACAAAACCACAGAAGUGAAGGGCUUCAAGAGCUGCCCAAUCGCAGCUGAUGUCCCAGCAGCUAUGAGUACCUUUACGCCGGUGAAAUCAAAAGCCUAAGUGACGAUGACCCUCUUAAAAAAGGGAAUGAAAGAAGAGAAAAGGCGAAACCUUAUUGUGGAUGACUUCGGAGAUAUCUUGGAAUCCAACAUUGACAGCACAGGAGAUCAGACGAGGUGGCUUCUUUCGGCAGCUUGCAAGAUUGACUUUGGAGUUGGAGAAAGAUAAAAACAGAUCAUUGGCGUUAUGAGACACAAAACAGUGCUUCAACAUCUCCGACUCUGUGUAGAGGAAGGAACUUGAGAGUUAUUUUGUAUGGAUGACGAUAAGAAAAGGGGCCGCGAGAAAUUCGGAACCAAUGGCUCUGUUAUGUCUGAGAAGAAUGUUGUCUCUUGGUACAUUUUACUUGACUCAAAAAGCUUUUGUAGUUUUUCACAAUGACAGAUGUCAUCUUACACACAGAAUCUGCUUUAACUCUUUGAGUAAAACUCAUGGAUCGUUUGUCCCUUAAACCAAGUCAGUUGUUCUUCUUUAUAAAUCACAAGUUGUAUUCGUCAAAAAUUAAAGAAUAUGAACAAAAGUAAACAUACAGAAAUUUUUAGCUUGUAUAGUUUUUGUCUAAAAGUACUCGAAAUCUAUAUAUGCCGUAUCAUCGGUUGGACCAGCAGCACAGGCGACCAGAGGCUCAGGUUUAAUUGAGUUGCAGUGGUCACCAGCUCCAUGGUUCUUGGCCUUCCCUCUAGCGGCAGUGUAUGGUCCCAAGUCAACAGGGUCAGGAAUGUGAGGAGGGGAAGCGCUGCGUACCAGAGCCCAAUUCACUCCUUCAAAGAAAGGGUGUUGCUUUAUCUCUGUGGCUCCCCGCGUGUAAGCAAUCCUUCUGUGAGGAUCCUUCACUAAAAGUCCGCGGAUGAGAUCACGUGCGGCUGAGCUCACAUGCGGGCUAUCCGGGAACUUCAGCGGCUGACCCACCACGUUGUGCAGUGUGGCUCUGUUUCCCUGCCCCUUGAACGGGGUGGUCCCAUGGAGAAGCUCAUAGAGGAAGAUCCCGAAUGUCCACCAGUCCACAGCACUGCCAUGUCCCUCGCCACGUAUGAUUUCUGGAGCAAGGUACUCGUGCGUGCCAACAAAGGACAUUGACCGCACAUCUGUUGGCUCUGCCAUGAGCUCCGGCAUAGAGAGGCCGCCAAGGCCAGAGUCGGAUUUGGCUUUACGGGUUUUCUUGGAAGGGAGGAGGCGCGGCAGGAAGGCGGAUGGAUGCAUGCAGCCAUUGACUGCAAAUUCCUCGUUGAGGAUAGCACCCCCUCCGCUGCAGACUGAGGAGGACUUAACGAGGGUCGGAUUAAAGGUGCAACGGAGGGAGAGGUCGAAGUCAGAGAGCAUUAUGUGGCCUUCAUCACGAACAAGAAUGUUUUCUGGCUUUAAGUCUCUGUACACAAUCCCCAGCAUGUGUAGAUAUUCCAAAGCCAAUAGUACUUCAGACGCAUAGAACCUGUCAACAAACUCAUUAGAGAAGAUAAUAUGUAAGCUCCAACGCCAAAUAUGUUGAAUGUUUUCUCUAACCUUGCGGCCUCUUCUGUGAAACGCCUGCUGGGCUGCUUCUGUCUGAGGGAAUGGAGAUUUCCGCCGCUGCAGAACUCCAUGACUAGACAGUAGAAUUUAUCGGUCUCAAAGUAAGAAUAGAGCGUUGGCAAGAAGGGAUGAUCUAGCAGAGAUAGAAUUUCUCUUUCAGUCUGUGCCCUCAGCAACUUGUUUCUGCUGGCCAAGGAGGCCUUAUCCAUCACCUUCAUCGCAAAAACUGCAUUUGUCCCUCGCAGGUCCGCUAGAUAAACGCUGCCUAUGUCCCCAUACCCUAGACGUUUCAGAAGCCUGAAGUUGUCGAGACCUAUUUGAGGGCCUCUUGACGCGACUGAGUUAAUGGCAUCCCAUCUGACGUCCCCUCCUGUGUGAGGCUUGAAAGGUGUAGCUGAUGGACUCACCAGGUUAUCACCAUAGCCGUAGUCCGCAUUAUGUCUAGGGGCUCUCUUGUUGUCUGGGGACUUUGUCCUAUGGUGGUGAUGUUUUCCGCUCGGCGAUUGUAUUUCAGGGGUGGUUAAAGGAACAAUCUUCUUGGGAUCAUAAUGAAGAUUUUUAGGAGCAUUCUUCCGCAUACCUAAGCUAUCACCAUCGCUAGAAUAGGUGUUAUGCUUUAAAUCACCCUCAUUGUUGGUCGCUCUGGUUGCAGAAGGAGGAGGUUCAUGAGAUUUCGACGGUUGAUGUUUGACCAAAGGAUCCAUCUUCUUGGGAUCGAAAUGAGGGUUCCUGGGAACAUUGUCUCCUAGUUUAAGUGAAAAUGGAGAGAGGCUUCCUCGAGGCGACUUAGGUUUUACGUUUGGGUCUAUCUCCUUGGAUCCGACAUUAGCUGUGUUCUUCUUGGAAGCUAAGUCCAUUUUCAGAACGUCUCCAGGUUGAUGAUGGUUCUUCGGUUAUAAAGUAGCUCACCUACGACAUCAAUAAACAACACCUUAAAGAUGCGUUGUGCUAUGUAACAUGAUGACAACAACAACAACAACAACAACAAAAAUGCGUGGGAAACAUUACCUGAGAUGAUCACGCUUCCUUGCUGAUAUAAAAGACAAGUUGAGGAUAAUCAAACCCUGUCAAACCAAAGAAACUGCCACCAGAAACCAAGGAACAAACACAUACAAAGAAAGAGAGAUUGUAAAGCGUCAGAGAAACGAAAAAAAGUGAAAAUCUUGAAACAGGUUUCGAAAAAAUGAAGAAUGCGAACCAUGUUUAGAGAUAAGUGUAGGUAGUUCCCAUAAUGAAAAUCUCAAACUGAAAAAACAAAAGCCAGUAAAUAAGUUCCAAGAUUCCAAAUCCAGAAAUGAAGAAAGGGUGACUUGAAUUGUCCUGUCUUUGUAAACGUAAUAAUCCCCUUAAUAGUAUCUCAACCUGGAAAAGCAGAGAGAGAAAUUUUUCAAAGAAGGAGACAAGAGGAGAUGCAAAAGAGAUGGAGAGAGGGAAACUUUCUUAGCCUCUCAUCCCUCAACGCAUACAUUGCCGUUUAUUCCUCUCUCUCUCCCAAAUUGUUUUUCUUAUGUCUGUCUAAAUUAACCAAUUUUUUCAUAUUUUUUUUUACCUAAUUUGGUUCAUUGACAGAAGACAUAUGUCAACAAAAUGCAGACAGACAUUGGUAAAAAGGGAUUAGUUGCAGUAAUAGCUCACCUGGUCUCUCCUCGUCUUCUGCUUCUGACCAGCGGCGAAGAAAGUGAUUGUUUCUCGAAAGCGUACAAGGUAGUGAGUCCGAACCGUUAGUAACGUUAUCUCGAAAAAGAAGCAUGAAGACUUGGGGAUAACAAGUCAAAGUGGUUGCAAAGUAUCUGCCUUUCUUCUCCGAUUCCAUAGCCGACGAAAAACAACAGCCACCCAGAAACACGGGAGACCAACCGUAGAAUUUACAAGGAACUCCGAUUGGGUUUUUCACUUUUAAGUUUUUAAACACCUUUUUAAUGCUUUUGGGUAUGUGUUAAUCAACAAUUCAUGGGCUUUUUAUUAAAGCCCACUUCAGCUAGAUAUAUCAAAAUCCCUUACGAAAUUUUGGUCCAUCUUAAUAUGCAAUUUUUUUUUUUUUGUGAAAAACUGCAUAUCUUCUUCUCUUUCUACUUUCUAGUAUAUUUUAUUAAUUUAUUUGUAUGAGACUGUGGGCAAAAUUGCAAUGCUAUCUAGUUUUUCUAACAGUAUAAACGUUGGGAGUGGAGAAGAUACUAUAAAGAAGGUAGAACACUAUCUAAAACACUGACUAGCUUAAACAUAUAGUUUUGCUUGUUUUAGUGUAAAAUUAAAAUCUUCUUGUUCUUUUUUUUGAACAAACUAAAAAUCUUCUUGUUUAAUAUACGAAAUUCAUAUGCAAAAAUUCUCUUUUCUGAAUUCUGAGAGGUUGCAAUAACAUUAUACAACCAACACAAAAAAAAAAUUGGACCGUUUUCCAAAUUAGACGAUGAGGAAAAAGGAAAGGAAAUAUGAGUUGUGUUUGUUGUCAUAGAGAUGAUGAAUACAAGAAAAAAAAAAACAAUAAUGAGAUAAAUACAAAAAUCAAUAAUAAGAUAGAUGAUCCGGAAAUUAAGCAAAUGGCGGGGUAUGGAUGAUGUCAUGAUAAACAUUACAGACACACCAUCUCCCCCAUUUCCUUGUACCAUAUAUACGUCUAUGUAUAGUUAUUGUAUACACUCUUAAAUUAACGAAGGUGCGAGUAUCAAUACGGUCAUUCUUAAACUAAAAUGCAGUAUUAUUUAAGUUUAAUUAGUCUAGCAAAAUUGUACACACUAAUCAAAUGAUCUUUUCAUGUCAAACGAUUGGUAUUUACUUUUUCUUCUUCUUCUUCUUAAAGAUGUAUCAUGGAGGUGUAUGCGGUUACGAAAUGAUUGCACUGCAUGCAUAACAACAAGUCGCAAACCGCCUGAUGUAGCUUUUGUUUAAGUUUGCAACGGGACAUCAGUCCAAAGUCCAAACCAUUUUCUUAAUUUCGUCUACUUUAAUGUAGACCGAUCCGUGAAUUGCGGACCAAAUCAAUGUUGGAUAUAAACCACAGGGACAGAAGACAAAACAUGAUUUAGAAAAAAAGAUCAUAUAUAACAUAUGAGAUAGGGUUCAACAAUAUCUAAGAACCGCAACGGUUUGGGCCAUAGCUACAUCGAUAGGGGUGGGAGUUGUUUGACAUACGUGGGGGCUGGGGUCCCAAACAUUUGGUGUGAUAUCAUAGAGUAUAUUGUUAUGACUUUCAAAUAUUAACCAACUAAUAUCAGAGAGUGCGUACAUCCACACCAACGACCAUAUUAGCUCUUCUAUAUAUGAUGAUCCUAAAAACAAAAUGAUAUAUAUAUAUAUAUAUUCUUUAUAUUAGAAAGAAAUUAAAAGAUUCAUUCAAUUUGGUUUAAAUAUGAAAUCUGUCUUCAUGUUUACUUUGUCUGGCCUAUUCAUUUUCACGUUUAUCAUACAAAUGGUUAUAAAUGACUAGUGCACAAAAUAAAUAUCGUCAUGUGGUGCUACUUGGCUUGUCAUUAUUAUUAAGGUGGUAAAAUUAUGUCUAUAUCUUUUUCUUUUUCUUUCUACGCUUGCGGCAGAUAUGAGAGAUUCAACACCGGCCUCUCAUGCCUUUAUCCUUUAAUUUUAUCAUCAUAUUCUUCCCAAUACAUUUAGCUUUCUCUCACGAUAUAAUAGUAGGAACAGUUCAAAUACUAGCUCACUGGACCGUCAAAACCUGGUUACUUGUUAGUGUUACCUAUAUAAAUGUAAUAAAUUUGAUUUUAAAAUCACCGGAAAGACCCGUGAUUAAACCAAAUNNNNNNNNNNNNNNNNNNNNNNNNNNNNNNNNNNNNNNNNNNNNNNNNNNNNNNNNNNNNNNNNNNNNNNNNNNNNNNNNNNNNNNNNNNNNNNNNNNNNNNNNNNNNNNNNNNNNNNNNNNNNNNNNNNNNNNNNNNNNNNNNNNNNNNNNNNNNNNNNNNNNNNNNNNNNNNNNNNNNNNNNNNNNNNNNNNNNNNNNNNNNNNNNNNNNNNNNNNNNNNNNNNNNNNNNNNNNNNNNNNNNNNNNNNNNNNNNNNNNNNNNNNNNNNNNNNNNNNNNNNNNNNNNNNNNNNNNNNNNNNNNNNNNNNNNNNNNNNNNNNNNNNNNNNNNNNNNNNNNNNNNNNNNNNNNNNNNNNNNNNNNNNNNNNNNNNNNNNNNNNNNNNNNNNNNNNNNNNNNNNNNNNNNNNNNNNNNNNNNNNNNNNNNNNNNNNNNNNNNNNNNNNNNNNNNNNNNNNNNNNNNNNNNNNNNNNNNNNUUUCUAUUUAUUUGUCGUCACCUUAAGUUUGUUUUAUUAAUCGUAUAAUUUAUUGGGUGCAAACUGGCAGUUUGAAUUAAUCACCCCUUUUCAUCAUCCACUGUCUUUGUCGUUCAUUUCAUUUUUCUCGAGCAGUUAGGAUUUUUUUUACACUAUCUAUAUAUAUAGUUUUAUUACUUGUAUAAUCUUAAUUAAUUACAAAGUUCGGUGAUAUAUCCUGACUGUUACUCAAUUAAUUAAGAAGUUCGGUGAUAAUUGCUAUUACACCAAGUAAUAAAAUAACAAAUUAUUGAUCACUGUGUAUUAAUGGGUGACAACUACGAAUAUAUAUAUGAUAGUGUUUAAAUUAUACGGACGGACAUGAUAAUGAUAAUAAAAAACUGUUUUACAAAUGUUGAGAGUUUAAAGAAGACACGAGAGAGUUAGCAGUGUAUAGCUUGGAUUGGAGUUCAACGCAACAGAGUGUGCACGCAUCUCUUUCCGAUUCGGAUACUCCAAGUCUCCAAUAUACAAUUCACUCUUUGUCAUGUUUUGGUCUCUCUCUCUAUCUAUAUACAGUAUGUAUCUUCUAUAAUACAGUUUUUCUAGUUUUUAAUUUGAACCGACGAAUAUGUAUGAUAACAAAAUCUAAGAAAUUCUAGAAGAAUCCAAGGGUGCAAAAAGGACAGCCAAUGAGCGUAUGACAGCUAUACAUCUUACUCUCGCCAUGGUGACUUUGACUCUCCCUUCCCCUCUAGCUCUUGUUAUCCUCGCGUAUGAUCUAUUUCAUACAUAUAUAUAUAUUAAUACCUACCCUCUCAGCUCAAUCAUAUCAAUAAUUAUCAAACGUAUUUUGUUUUUAUAGUUUCUGCUGUAAUUGUGUUACCCUUGAUUACGUUCGCAUACCUUCGGUUUCUUCCUAGCUAGUGGGUGGCCCUUNNNNNNNNNNNNNNNNNNNNNNNNNNNNNNNNNNNNNNNNNNAAAUAACCGACUUAAAUACGUUGGAUCAUGCAAACUCUAGUUUUGUUACUACUACUACCACUAGUUAACCUUUAUAUAGCCUUUUCACUGUUACAAAAUUGAAUAUAUAUAUAGCCUUGCAUUCAUCUUGACUUUAACGGGGAAAAAACUAAGAAAUAAUAACGUUGUAUAAAUGUAAUUUCAGUUUCAGAUUUUAACAUAAAUUAUUGGAGGAGGAUCUAAUAGUAAAACAUUAAUUUUUUUGGUAGGAAUAGUAAAACAUUAAUCGUGAUAAAAAAUAAGUGAGAAACUCAAUAAUUUGAGGAAGAGGUCUCAUUUUUAUAUCUGUCAUUGUUGACCAUUAGCUACAUUUCAAAAAAAAGGUUUACUUUUGUUUUCUUGUUGAAUUGAACUAAUCAAAAAAACGACGAAGAAAAUAAAGUGAUACUAGCCGGGAGCAUCUCUUCUCUAAACACUACGUGUAAGAUAUAUAAAUACUUUUUUUUUGUUUUUUCUUAAUUAGAGGAAUGGAAAUAAAAAGUUGAGUGUUUUGAGUUUUAAAACUGUUCUGUUUAGGCGUUGAUGAACAAUCAGCAUAAAGCUUAAUACAAACGUGGAGCAUGUCUCGCUUCAUCUUAAGUAAACUAAACACUAAUUUUGUCCUAAAUGGUUACUACUUUCUAGUAGUAUUUAAAUCCCUUAUUAAUAUAGGGGUUUUUACAGUAACUGAUAUUAUAAAAUAAAUAAAUAAAAAAAGGAAGAGAGAGAGGAGAGAAGGCGUUUCAUCAAUGUAUAUAAAUACUCUGUUUUGGAAACAGAACCCAAAAGGGGCAAAAAACCAAGAAGACGAAUAGUAAAAUGCAGAGAAACAAGAAGAGAGUCUUGCUCUCCUGUCUCAUCAUCACGAUGCUCCUCCUAAUCUCCGCCGCAGAUUCCGUUAAAGACACGGCGUUGCGGCUCGAGUUAGCUCACCGAGACACUCUCUGGCCGAAUCCUCUCAGCCGCAUUGAGGACAUUAUCGGCGCCGACCAUAAGCGUCAUAGUUUGAUAUCUCGGAAGCGUAAGUACAAAGGAGGAGUGAAAAUGCCUCUAGGAUCAGGGAUCGAUUACGGAACGGCGCAGUAUUUCACGGAGGUUAGGGUUGGAACUCCGGCCAAGAAGUUCAGGGUGGUGGUUGAUACAGGGAGCGAGCUUACUUGGGUGAACUGCAAGUACCGUGGGAGAGGAAAAGGUAGAGUUGAGAACCGUAGAGUGUUCCGAGCUGAAGAAUCCAAGAGUUUUCGAACAGUUGGAUGCUUCACUCAGACUUGUAAAGUUGAUUUGAUGAAUCUUUUCUCACUCUCUACUUGUCCUACUCCUUCAACUCCUUGCUCCUACGAUUACAGGUACUUUCCCCCAAUCGGUAAUGGUGUUUGCAUUGUUUAAUACAGAGUCAAAUGUGAUUAGGUAGGUUUAUUACAAAAGUUGAUUAUCGAAUUUGUAGUGAUAGUGAUGGUGGAAUUUACAGACAUUUUAAUGGAGGAAGGAACAAUAACUGUUUAAGGAAUUGUUUGUGUUUGAGACAAGAUAUUUUAGAGAAAAGUUUGGUGGUCAAUCAAUGAAAGAGAAGAGGGACCUCAGUCUCUCUAUCUCUUGUCACUAUAUCAUUGUCUCUUCUCAUCUGAUCUAUACAGUAUAUGUAUAACUCUCUUAACUAUUUUAGAGGACUUCUUGGGGUGGCAUAGAUUAGAUGCAAGUGUAUGUAAAGGGAGGGUGAAAUUAAAUGUGAGUUGAGCUACAAUUCAGCUCGAUACAUAAAUGUCACUUAUUGUGACUUGUGAGUUAGGUUUGACGUUUGAGCAUAUGCAUAAAUUUAUUCAACCUCUCUUAUGACACUUAACCUAAUGCAAAUCGUUAAUCUGAGUUUCUGCAUUGUAUUUAACAUUAAAAAUUGAUGGGUUUGAAUAGAUAUGCCGAUGGGUCAGCGGCACAAGGCAUAUUCGCAAAGGAGACAGUCACGGUCGGUCUGACUAAUGGUCGCAAGGCUAGACUCCAUGGUCUCCUCAUUGGUUGUAGUAGCUCCUUUAGUGGACAGAGCUUCCGUGGUGCGGAUGGGGUUCUUGGUUUAGCCUUUAGUGAUUUCUCCUUCACUUCUACAGCCACUAGUCUCUUCGGAGCCAAAUUCUCCUACUGCCUCGUUGAUCAUCUCUCCCCCAAAAACGUCUCCAAUUAUCUUAUCUUUGGCUCUUCCUCCUCUGCCACCAAAAACGCCCCCGGACGAACCACCCCGCUUGAUCUCACUCUCAUACCUCCCUUCUACGCGAUCAGCGUCAUCGGAAUCUCCCUCGGAGACGACAUGCUCGAUAUACCCGCGCAAGUAUGGGACGCAACGACCGGUGGUGGGACAGUCUUGGACUCAGGAACUAGUCUCACGUUAUUGUCCGAAGGCGCGUAUAAACCUGUGGUCACAGGGCUCGCACGUUACCUUGAUGAGUUGGAAAGAGUCAAACCAGAAGGGGUACCGAUUGAGUAUUGUUUUAGUUCCACCUCGGGGUUCAACGAGAGCAAGCUACCGCAACUAACGUUUCACAUGAAGGGGGGUGCGCGUUUUGAGCCUCAUCGUAAAAGUUACCUCAUAGAUACUGCGCCUGGAGUCAAGUGUUUAGGGUUUAUGUCGGCGGGAACGCCGGCGACUAAUGUGGUCGGGAAUAUAAUGCAGCAAAAUUAUUUGUGGGAGUUUGAUCUAAUGGCCUCAACUUUGUCUUUUGCUCCCUCUUCUUGCACUUAGCUGUCUUCUCCAUCUCUCUUGUGUUUAUUACUAUUAUUACUUUGAUUAAUUGAAAUAUAUAUUGUUUGUUAGUGAAUGAAAUAAAAACAUGUUCGUUGUAAAAAUUCGCAAUCUUUGGCACUUGUUUAGGUAUUUGAUACACUUCUUCUAUUCAUCUUGAUCCUCUUGUAAAUUCGUUUAGAUUAUUGGGCCUUUAGGGACAUAACACAUAUUUAAACUGUUAAAAGGGCUGUACUGAGAGAGUUAGAUAGAAUGGGUUUAGUUGUAAUAAAGAUUGGCCUCCAAAGCCCAGUCCUAAUAAGUUCAUACUCUGACAGAUAAAGGCUGUUUCUGACAAUAGGAAUCUGAUGCAUCGUUGUAUUAUCUCAUGCCCUCUCUUCACAGAGCAUAUUUUUCUCUCUUUUUUUCUUUUCAUUUCUCCCACUCUGUCACUUAUGGAACAUUAGUAAAUCUUGUAGAGUACUCUGUUUUGAUACUGUACCCAAAAAUAACCCACCAUAGCUUAAAGAUCACAUCAUCUUCUACUAAAAGGAAAAAAUAUAAACAGAGGGUGAAGGAGGAGCGUUGUUGUUGGAACUUGUGUGGAAAGAAUAAAAAGGGUGGGAAAUAAGUUAAAUUUAGGGGAUGGGGGGAAACACAUAGUCACAUACCCAAUGACCAAUCCCAUCAUGGCAUCCACUAAAAUGAUCCAAUCAUUAUUGUUGACAGAGAAGCAUCACAUGCUACAUCAUCAUGAUAUUUGCUUCUACGAGAAUCAAUCACUACUUACUCUUCUUUCAAUAGUACAAAUGUAAAUAUAAAAAUACCACAAGAGGCAUACACCAUCGGCAAUAUAUUAGUAAUAUGUAUGGAAACCAAGAAGAUGCUCAUGAGAACCUCCUCAGUCUUCUAAAUUUUGGUUGUUUAGGCUGCCAAAAUCAUCCGGCUAGUUAAUUUUUGGUUUAAUACAUUAAAAUUAAUCAGUAGAAAAGUUAAAUGGCUUUUUUAUGUUAUAAUAUUUUUAAUAUAUUUUGUUUGGAAAUAUAGAAGGAAAAAAAAGUUUCUGUAUAAGCAUUAUGUAUGUUAAUUUUUAAACCAAUUAUUUUAUAGUAAGACUAGCUGUUAACAUUUGCUUAAUCUCACAUCAAAUUGGCUAGGCGUUAUAUCAUUCUCUAUAGACGCUAUCGAAUUUUUUGAAUAAAAGAUAAUAAUAUCCAUAANNNNNNNNNNNNNNNNNNNNNNNNNNNNNNNNNNNNNNNNNNNNNNNNNNNNNNNNNNNNNNNNNNNNNNNNNNNNNNNNNNNNNNNNNNNNNNNNNNNNNNNNNNNNNNNNNNNNNNNNNNNNNNNNNNNNNNNNNNNNNNNNNNNNNNNNNNNNNNNNNNNNNNNNNNNNNNNNNNNNNNNNNNNNNNNNNNNNNNNNNNNNNNNNNNNNNNNNNNNNNNNNNNNNNNNNNNNNNNNNNNNNNNNNNNNNNNNAAAUCAAUUUACUAUUUCAAUUUGUCACACCACACAUACAUCAAAAAACCUUAUACAUGUGAUUUUAAAAUAACCUCUCUCACACUCAAAAGAAGAAGAAGAAAAAAAAAAAUGAAACCAGUUGCCUUAUCUUACAUCGCCAAAUUAAAAUAUAUUAAAAAACCGCAAUCUCUUUUUUUUUCCUACACCUAAAAUUUGCACUCGAAAGUUAAAAUUAAAAAACAACACUUUCAAUUAAACCAAAAAUAAUAAUAAUUAGGGAUUGUUUGCAAGGAGGGUGCAAGGGGUGUGGCGACAGCAAGUGAGCAAGUGGUCGUUAGUAAGACCAGCGGCUUGCAUGAAUGAGUGAACCACAGUUGGACCAACGAACCGGAACCCUCUACGAACCAUGUCUUUGCUGAUGCUCUCAGACUUCGAUGUCUUGACUGGAACCUUGUGUCCAAUCUUGUAGUUCGUGGAGAUAGGCUUGUGGUUCACAAAACCCCAAAGGUAUUUCUCUAGUGACCCGAACGCUUUCUUGAUCUCUACGAUCUUUGUAGCGUUCUCCACGACACCUCUCACUUUGCUCAUCUCUAUCUUGUAUUCGAUGCUUAUUGCAUUCAUCUCUUUCUCGGUGAGUUUUGCUACCGCUUCCGCCUCAAACUCCAUAAACGCCUUCCUGUAGUCUUGGCGUUUUCUUAAGGUUGAAGUCCAGUCCGAGCCUACUUGUGCGCCGCUGAGUGUCAGCAGUUCGAACAACAUCCUGAAAAUAAUUAAGAUAUUUAAUCUUACUAUUUGACGAGAAUUAUAUGAAAUAUCAAUUAGCCUUUGAUUGUGAACAUGGAAAGAAGAGUUAUGUCACGCACUUGUCAUCAUGAACUGGGACUCCCCAUUCUUCAUCAUGGUAGGCCACGUAAAUAGGAUCUGAAGAUAACCAAAAGUAAAAUCUGUUAGAUCCAUGUAUAUAAUAUGAAGGUGAAACCUAAAGUUCAAACCCAAAAACAAAAAAAAACAAAAAACCUUGGAAAGUAAUAUAUACGAGACAUAAGGUAAUUUAGUCAUUAAUCAAUUGAUUAUGAGUAAUUGAGUUUAAAUUGAAAGUUGGUGAAACUUAACAAAAUCCAAAAAAGAAAAGAAAGAGUAAUAAAGAGAGAAUUAAAUGGGUCAAUACCAGAAGUGGGGGUGAGGAAGCUGCACCUCUGAGGAUGAGGGUUAGGGUUAGGGUGAACAAGAGGGACGACUUUGGAAGAAGUGAAAUUAAUGGUUGAUUUGGAUCUGCCGUAAUGAGCAAUCUUUAGUUUCCUUAGGGCUUGUUGUGCAGCCACUUGCUCCCUCCUCCCGGCGGCUAUACUUCCAGGAGCCUCCGUUAUGAGCCAGGAAGAAUAGCUCUCCCCUUCCUUAAAACUCUUUGAUUUCUUGCGCUCUAAGCUUCCCUUCGUUUUGGCUGCAACAUUGCUCAUCACACUGUCCCUCUUGAGAGACUCAGAGCGGUCCAUUAGGCGAUGGCAACUACUUGGCGGCAACAUUCCUCUUUUGGUCAAACUUAUCGCCUCCGCUUUGCUCAUUUUCUCUAUAUCAAAAUUCUAAGUUAUGUAUGGUGAUGGAUGAUGAUGGAAGCUGUAUUAGUAAAAGAGAGAGAAUUGGUUGAGAUAUUAAUGAUGGUGAUGAAAUAGAGAAGAGAGGUGAUUGCGUACGUAUAUAUAAUUGUGAGAGGCAGAGAGAGAGUCGUUGAAAAGUAGUAAAAUAUGUAAGGGUGAUAAUAAUGCGUAAACAUUCUUACAGAGUAAACAUGAUUAAUAUUCUAAAACUAAAACCGUGUGGAUGAUAUUAGUGUAUUAGUAUUAAUGACAACAUGUAAUAACAAAAAAAAAAAAAAAGGGGGAAGAAGAGAAGGAAUAUAGAUAGAAAAGAGAAGAGGCAGAGCAUGUGCAGGAUUUGAUGCAAUGAUGCCACCAAAUCAUCCCAUGUGACCUUUUUUAUGUCUUCCCCUAACUCUUUCUACAUGUUUACUUUUCUUUUGGUACUUUGAGAUUCUUUCUUGUAUUAUUUUAGGCUGCUUUCUUAUAUUUUUCUGAAUUUUUUUUGUUUUUUUUUUUGGUUGUUGUUGUCAUGACAUAUUUUUGUGAUUUUUAUCACACCCAUUUGAACCAUAGUCAGUUUAUUCACAAAAGCAAUUCUGUUAUAUAAUUUACAAGAAUUAAUGCAAUAUUAGACAAUAACUAUUGAAAUUAAAGUGUUUUUGUUUUGUUCAAUUUGUAUGUCACCACAUCUUUUUACUUUCUCGCAUCUUUUACCUUCGCCAUGCAUAAUUUUUCUCUUAAAGCACAAUUUUGUUUUUAAUGGAAUGCAAUUUUUAAGGAUUUAUAUAUCUAGGAAGAAAAAAUAAGCAGAGAAAUUGAGAUGAAUUUCCAAAGAAGAACCAAAACCUGAGUAAAUUAAAGCGUACGUUUACGAUGAAGGAGAUAAGAUAAAGAGACAGACCAUGUGGUUCCACUUAUCCUAACAAUUCCAUUAUUACCAGUACUAUAAUAAUAAACACUACUCAAUAGUAGUUUAAUACAUACCAUUUAUUCCCGAUCUACUCUGCCUCGGUGUCCACUUCGUGUUACUCCUCAAUCGUAUCAACCAACAUAUAUAUAUACAUGAGAUUAUUAUGUUUCCUUCAUCCUUUUUGUUCCAUUUCAAUCAAUAUUUCUCUAACGCGUAACGUAAUAAUUGAAUUGGCGUUUUGUUGAAUCUUUUUUCUUCUGAUUACUAUAUACCCGACCUUUCCAACACCUGUGUGGGUAUAUAUAUAUUUCUUGUACAAGUGUAAGUCCUCAAUUGAAUUAGAAAGAAUGUUAGUGUAGUAACAGGUGAGAGACCAUGUGGCAAUGUAACGUGUUCCCUCUUUGCCGUCGCUCUUCCCACGAAGUUUCAUUAGAAAAAAAAACUAGCAUUAUUGUUUCCGUACCAAUCAAAUGGGAAUAUCGUCGUAGUCUCAUCAAUCAUAGGCGGACGUAAGACAUUAUUGAAGUCCUCUCUAGUGGGCUGGUCUGUUUAUUCGUAUGAAUGUCACACCCAUAUUUCAACUCACUUAAUUAGCCCAUUUGAUAUGGCGCAAAGUACUACAAAAAUAUAUACGACAUUGGAGCCAAAAAAGCCUCUAAUGAGAUUCGUUAAAACUUAAAAGCAUAUGUACAAAAGUCUUAAGUAGUGGGAUUAAGGAGAAGGAAAAAAAAUGAUACAUUGAUUUAGAAAAUUCUCAGCUUUUCAAAACUAGUGAAAAGCAGAAAGUGGCAAUUAUUCAUGUACUUCUAUAUACACUUGAGAAAAUGAAAAAUAUUGUAGAGUAAAGCUAAAAGGUCCACCCAAGAUCAUCCAUGGGGUUGAAAUCUAUAGACGACAUUGCAGAUGAGAAAAUGGAAGCAAAAUCAGGAUCAAAAGCAGAAGAAGACGGAGUAUUAAACAAAAUGUCCAUGUUGAGAUCAUCAUCAUCAACUCCUGCUACUGGCUUAUCACCCGGCAGCAUCGGAGCUUCGUGGAUCGCCAUUUCAUCAACAUGUGACCAGUGAGGAAUCAUAUUCUCAUCAUCCAAAAGACUUGACAUGGUAUCGUUGAUAGGGAUCAUGGCUUGAGAGGGGGUUAAAGUCCGGACAGGAGAUUUAAGUCUGUUUGGUUUAUUGGAAGUGGGAGGAUUGAUGUUUGUGAUUGAAAAAGCAGUGGUUGCUUGAUCAAGAUCACUAGGGUUUUUCAUGAUGGACGUCGUCUUUGAUCUUGGCUUGGACACAUUAUUACUAAUAUUAGAAGAAGAAGAAGAUCUUUUAUGUGAAGGCAUGAGGUUAUGUGUAGAAGGGUCUAAGCCUUGAGAAAGAAGUUUCUUCUUAAUGCAUGAGUUCCAAAAGUUCUUGACUUCAUUAUCAGUGCGUCCGGGUAAGUGCUUAGCAAUCUGAGCCCAUUUGUUACCAAGAAUACGAUGUACAUCGAUUAUGAUUUGCUCUUCCUCUUCGUUAAACGAACCUCUCUUCAGAUCAGGCCUCAAAUAGUUUAUCCACCUUAGUCUACAACUCUUCCCACAUCUUUGCAACCCUAUUUAAUUACACACAUACAUACUGUUAGCUAGGAUCGAAACCCACAUCAAAAAUAUAGUAGACAAUAUAUAUAAAGAACAUAUAUAUAGAGAGACUAAUUAAUUAAUCCACUCAUUGCUAAUUAGUUUUGAAUUUACGCAUACAUGUCUUAUUUUCCUUUUGUCAAAAACAUGCGAUCAAUAUGUUAAAAUAGUGAACAUAAAAAGAGCUAAGAGAUGAAGUUACAGAACCGGCAAGCUUUGGAACGGAACUCCAACUAGGAUGGCCAUGAGUGGUGAUAUAACGAAGAAGCUUCUCGUCUUCCUCUGGAGACCAAAGCCCUCUUUUCACUUUGUGUUUUCCGCAACAUCGGUGUCCCAUUUCAUCUCUUUUCAUUUCCCAUUUCUCUCUCAUCUUCGUAGUUUAUAUACGCAGAGUCUCUUGGUGUUUAUAAACCGAAAGGCUCACUAUUUAAUUAAUUUACCCACAUUAGUACUAAUAUCUUCCUUGGGAGAAUUAAUCUUAUAUGAUUAACCAAACUUGUGUUGUUUCUCUUUUUUUCUAUGUGUCUUCAAACGGAAGCCUGAUUAGAGACAGUGGUUGUUCACGUCACUUUCCUUAACAAAAAUCAUCUAUGUAUCUAGUUAACUUGUGCUUCUCGUUAUUUCCAUACAUUGCAUGCUUGGUUCCUGUAAUUAUCAGUUUAGUUUAAUAUAUAUGCAAUGUUUUAAUGAUCUUAUAUAUAUGCACUAACGGACACUCAUUAAAUUGUUGUCUACUGGACUUCAAAAUACUUCGGAUCAUUGGUAAGAAAAAUAGUACUAGAAUAAAAACACAAGUUAUAUAUAUUGUCAUCGGAUCCUUAAACAAUCCAGGAUAAUGCUAUAGGAUUUGAGGAGCAGAGGUCGUAACGUAGAAGCCAAACAUAAGACUUAGUCCCAGCCAGGUACUUUCAUCGUCAUGAGGGGAGACUGUCUUUGCAAGUACAGUACCUUAGUUUGUUGAUAUAAUCGUGGAAGCAAGCAACAACAACUUUUCUAGUGUUAAUUUGGAUAUUAUAGGAAUCACAUAAAUAAUAUUAUUACCACUCGUAAAUACGUUCAUUUACUAACAAAUUAGUUAAAAUUAGAGGUAAAGUAGGGAGCACGAAUGCAUACAAAUUCCGACCUAAUCUCAACUACUAGAAACUUGGAUCAUUCAAAGGAGCUUCCGAAUAAUUAAUAUUUCCGCUUAAGUAAGCCACGUACGUACGCGUCAAGCUUGAAUAUAGAGAUACUUCUACAAUGCAAUGUUUUAUUUGAACCCGUCAAGUUAAGCUUAAGAAUAAACUAAUGAGGUGAGGGGGGAAAAAGCGGUUAAUUAACAUAAUAAUAAUAAAGCCGUCGCUGUUAAUUACCGUAUAAUGUAAAAAUCUUUGUCAAGAUGAAGCUACAAAUAUUUUAACUAUAUAUUGUACACUUGUUUUGGUUUUCCAGUAAUAUAACAUAGUCCUCUCUUUCAGUCCUUUUUUUUCUUGUAAUUAAAUAUUCUUACUUAUAGAUAAACCCUAACCAUGGGUAAACUGAUGAUUGGUAAUCUUUUUUUAUGUUGUCUAUAAAAAUCUAAAACUGAAGAAAAAAAGAGAUUGCAAUUGUUGGGUCAUUCUGGUAUUAAUUUGACAUCAUGAAGUCAGAAUGAUGUAACACGAUUCAUUUUCUGAAAUCAUGAUUCAUGAGUUGCUUUUCCACGACAACGUAUGUGAUUAAGCAAUUGUGAGAAUAGUAACAGAGAAGCUCUCUCGACGUAGUUCUUUUUCUGGGUGUUAUCUUUCUUGGUUCCAUAUAUUUUUACAUACCACCAAAAUGUUUAGUUCGACGACGUACCAGUUUAAUUUGAUUACAUUUAUCAACAUAACAACGUAGAGAUCUGGAUUCUUUUUUAAAAAUAUAUAUUUUUCAGGAUUUUUUGGGGUUUUAUAUUCUGUCGACUGCUAUUUUUUCUUUGUUUGGAAAUGAUAUUUUGGAAGAAAAAACCUUUUAAAAACAUAGAUAAAAUUUCUUAGAACAACUUUUUGCUAGAAAAAAGUGAGAAGCAACGAAUAAUAACAAAAAUCUUAAUUUUCUGAAAGCUGCUGAAGUGUGAGAGAAAACAAACAACACAUUACUCCAUCGUCCAAUCUUAUCUUUAAGUUAAGUAUGUACCAGUCCUUACAACAAAUUAAAAAAAUAUAUACAAUCUCCCAUCCAUUUUUGACCGUUUCAGACCCAAAAAAAAGAAGACUUAACCUUUGACUCAUCAACCGACAGACUUGAGACUUUAACAUUGCAAUACGCUUAAGGUGGUCUAUGAAGUAAAGAACUCUCUAAAUUGUUGAUACCUCACCACUACAAAUUAUAAGAAUGGGGCUUUUCUAGUUUUAGGCUUUUGGCCCCAAAUUUCAGCUAUUGGAUCCAGUAGCAACAAUUUAUGGGAAUGAAGGCAAUUGGAAAAUUAAAUGACAAACCUUUCACAAAAACCUGCAAGUGCAUGCAGUGAUAUUUUAUUAUAAAGAAAUUAUAAAAGGUGGAUUAAGACUGGAGUGGUAAACAAGAAUUUAUCGUUGGAUGCGUGGUGAUGGUGGCUAUAUAAAAGUGACUAGAUAGAAAGACAUACGAUUUGAUCGGUUAUAAUUGUGCAUGUAGACUUUUUUUACAAAAUAAAAUAAUAAAAUGACCUUCGAGAUUUUGCAUGUAAACGGAUGUGACUUUUAAAAGAAAAGAUCAUGUAUCACGAGCUUUAGAAGAAAACCAUUAGAAGAAUAAAAGUUGUGGCAGAAUUAGGAAUCGUAUUUAGGACUAUACAACUGUGUUUUAAGUUUGUAAACCUUUAAUUUCUACUUACCAUUUACCACUCAUCACCCCAUAAUCUUUUAAAUAACAUUUGCACGUAACACAUAAUAACUACAAGAAUCGUGAUAUUCAUAAUGAGGCAGCCUAUAGCCUUACUUAACCAUAUAUGCUAUCAUCAGCACAUAUAUAUCAAGUGAAUAGAAAAGACUUAAUGUUUGGCAAAAGUUAUUACAAGUAAAUUUGCGCAGUUAUAGACCAAGUGCGCAUCAGAAACUAGUAGAAAGAGACGUCAAGCUAAGUAGCUAGAUCUAUAUAUGUACUCACUCUCUAACCGAGACAAACCGUACGGCCUUUUGUGAUGGAACUCCGAGAAUCUUGCAGGGGGAAGUUGGAAUUGAUGUUAGGGAGAACCAACGUAGAUGAAUCCAUGGAGGAAGAAGAAGGAAAAUGAUCCUCGAACCAUGGGAUUGGUAGGGACGAUGUGUUGUUACAAGUAUUGGUGCAGUCGAAAAAGAGAGUAGAGUAGUCUUUGGUGAGGCUUGCUUCUUGGGUUUCACAUGCUUUCUCUAACAUGCUCUCCAUGUAUUUCCCUUGUGCUUCUAUCCUUUGAUUCACUUGUCUUUCUAUUUCCACUUCUUCCUCUAUUCUUCUUUGCACUUCCAUUUGCAUCCUUUAUUAUCACCAUUCAUAAUUACGAUUUACAUAUUUCAUUAUUUAUACAUAAAUCAUUAUACAUAGUUAAGGAAAAAAAACUAUAUAUAUACUUAGGAUUUGGAAUUGAAAUUAAAGCACAUACUCGUUCAUAUUGCGACCAACGAUCAGCGGACUAGUCGUGAAUACAGCAUUCCUUCGAAGAUCCAACAUGGAGGCUGCAUGGAUGCAUGAUGUUGAUUAACAUAUUCAUGGCUCAAUCACAAAUUUACCAAUAUUGUAUCACUAUUCUUGGAGCACAUUCAUUAAGAAGGUAGAUGAUUUUUGACGGACCUCUAUUAGUAUCCCUAAUAUUAAUGGAGUGGUUUUGACUAUGCUCCUUGUGAGGCUGCUUUCCAAGUCUGAACUUCUGUAGUUGAAACACACAAAUAUAUGUUUUAAAAUCUUAACUACGGCGGCAAAAUUAGAAAGCUAAUGAAGAGUUAAUUGAGAAGAGAGAAAGUGAGGAAGAAUAUGAUGAGGGUAAGAGCUAGACACCUGGAGAUGGCUCUUGAGGUGAUAAAGCGUGAGACCCUUCACACCCAUCACUCUCAUUAUCGUCUUUGGUGUGGCCUCUGCUGAUACAUAUCACAAUUAAUAUAGCUCUAGCUAGGUAUUUCAUACAUAUAGAAAUAUGAAUAUAUAUCAUGAUGAUGAUGAAAACGUACUAUCAGGGCCACCAAGGUGGGCGACGGCGUCAACGAAGCGUUCAUGAAGCUCUGCUGUCCAGCGAAGGCGAGGUUUAGGGUCAGUGGUGAGGACGAGACCUGAUGAUGACUCAUCUCUCAUCUCCUCCCUAGACUGCAUCAUUCUACUAAGGAAUUAAAUGCCGAUCGAUGAUGCUCUAUUCAACAAAGAGAAUAUUAGUAUUUAUGAAAGGUGAAAAAGGAACGCACGACGUAUUCCAAAUUACAAGUAUAAAUUAUGGAGUGACAUUGACAUAAACAAUUUUUUAAUAUGGUAUAAAAAAGGUAGGGAGGCAUAUAUCUAAAUGCACAGUAGGGUUUUAGGCUUUGAAGUUGUAAACCAUGCAAGCUUUUUUGCAUCCACACAUGUCUAAAUACCCAACAAAAUCCAAAUUUUACAUGUCUUACUCCUUCUAUUUUCCAUGUAUUGACGCAUGUGGCCUUACACGCCUACACACACAUACUAUACGGGAUUGCUUUUUUCGUUUUAGAGAUAUGCACAUGCAUGGGAAUAAGGAACAAAGGCAUCUUAUUUGUUUUUAAUUAAAACUUGUUUAAUGUCGAUGAAAAGAUUCGUGUGCUUUCUUUGCACAUUCAAUAAAGAAAGACAAGUGGAACAAAGCUGAUGUUUAACUUUUAGCUCAUCAAUUGUAAGUAUAUGUAUGUAAAUAGGAAUCAUGCAGGUUGGAAAAACUAAAAAAGGAAGAAAGUAAUUGUUUUGUUUGCUUAAUUUCCAAGCAGCCUCUUGUAUCUCCUUUAUCUUAUAGAUUCUUCUUAUUUUUAUUCCUUCUUCAGAUGAAUAUAUUCCCUUUCAAAUCACACACCACUCAUGACACACGCAACACGGACUCAACUCAACCAAAGUCCGUAAGUGUCGGACCAAACCAAAUAAUACGCAUAGCUUGUCUUGAUCCAAGGAAAAAGUGGAGGCCUUUUCAGAAACAAAUGAAGCCCACAUUGAAAUUUAUAGGCCCAAUUGGUUUAAGCCCUACUCAAAUGAGUACAUGGCAUUUGCCAUGCAUAGUGAUAGAGUUUUUCAAUUUUCUUGACCACUAUAAAGUCCUCCUACAUCAUCAAUUCAAUAAAAAUAAUUAAGCAAUUGAGCAGUUAGGUCUUUUUUUUUUUUUUUGGAUUUUUGUUCUUGUUUUUUUUUUUGUUUUCUCUAAUUCAAUAUUCAUGCUGUGAUCAUAGGUCCAUUUUUAAUUUGGGAUUUUUGUUCUUGUUGUCUUUUUUUCCUUUUCUGUUGAUCAUAUAGGUCCAGAACAAAAUCAAAAUUAUUGGUCAUGCAUUAAUUUGGUAAUAUUUUAGUUGUAUUUAUCACAUUUCAGCUAAAAUAAAAUAAAAUAAUAGAGCAGUAACAAAGAAAAAAAAAAGGAAAAUAGAACCGUGUUUACCAAUUGGCAACUGCCACGAUCCAUCCUACGAAACUUCAAAUUUGGGGUUUUCUCUUCUUCUUCUUCUUCUUCUUCUUCGUCUAGAUCGGAGGGAAAUGAGUCUUACCAGCCGCCAUUGACGACUACGACGACCAUUCUUCCUCUUCUUCAUCUUCUAGCUUCGUUCUGCUUUUUCUCUAUUUCAUUCUCUCCUUUACACUAUUUUCUUCCUCUACACAGAGAUCUCCCUUUUUCUCAGAGAUGUCUUCUAAUACGCCAUCGUCUAGCUCCGCUGCUGCCGGAUCGGCAGAUUCUUCCGCCGCCCGGAGAAAUUCGAAACGACCCAAGUGUAUUUAUUUCUUCCCGUCUUCGUCAUCUUCCUUUCGAUUCUUCUUUGACUGUUCGAUUUAGAUUCAAUAUUCGCUGUAUCUUUGAGUUGACUUCCAAAUUCUCUACUUGUGGGUUUCACCAAAAUAAUAAUAAUUAUGGUUCUUACUUUUUCAUCGAACUUUAUUUGGAAGUAUUAGCUAGGAAUCGAGAAUAUGCUUUAGCUAAGAGUUGAUUCUGCUUGAUUGCAGAUUCAAAAUUUACACAGCAGGAGCUUCCAGCUUGCAAGCCAAUUCUUACGCCUGGUUGGGUAAGUUAGCUUCUUCAUAUCACUUGUAGCAUAUAUGUUAUCUCUUACUCAUGUUUUAGUCUCCAGUUUGUUUAUUCCUAAGAAACGCUACUAAAUUUUUAUCUUUUUCCUUAUCUCGGCCUGCAGGUGAUUUCGACAUUUUUGAUCAUUAGUGUCAUCUUCAUUCCCCUCGGUGUUAUUUCUCUUUUUGCUUCUCAAGAUGUAAGUGAGGAUGAUCCAGUUCUGCUCUUCAUUAGAUGCUUUUUUUAAAAAAUUUAUCUCACAUGUUUCAACUCUUAUGGGUAGGUUGUUGAGAUCGUUGAUCGGUAUGAUAAUGAUUGCAUACCUGUGCCUGCUAGGGCUAACAAGGUUGCAUUCAUUCAAGGAGCUGGAAAUAAAUCUUGUAGCCGGAAUAUAACUGUGAGUUUCCCUAUGCAAGUGGUUCCUUCUCUGAUAUUUGAUUAGUCUCUGAAUUUUUUUGUUUACUUUCUCUUUUAUCCUUGGUAUUUUUAGGUGCCUAAGCUAAUGAAGCAGCCUAUCUACGUAUAUUACCAGCUUGAGAACUUCUAUCAGAAUCACCGCAGGUAUGUGCUGAGAACUUCUAUCUUUCUGGUAAUAUUUUGUAUUUGUUUGGGGUUUCAGUGCUAGACCUAGAGUAAUCCACUACAUUGAUAUCACAAAGUAGUCAGAGUGCAAGGAAAUAUAUACUUACGUUUGACUUAGAUUCCUUAAGUCUUUCUGACAUGUACAUAUUCAAUAUUACAGGUAUGUGAAAAGCCGAAGUGAUGCGCAAUUGAGAAGUGUGAAAGAUGAGAAUCAAAUAGACGCAUGCAAGCCUGAGGAUGAUGUUAAUGGGAAGCCGAUUGUACCUUGUGGUCUAAUUGCCUGGAGUCUAUUUAAUGACACAUACACUCUCUCAAGAAAGAGCCAGCCUUUAGCGAUUAACAAGAAAGGAAUCGCAUGGAAGAGUGACAAAGAACACAAGUUUGGGAAAGGGGUCUUUCCAAAGAACUUUCAGGAGGGCAAUAUCACCGGUGGUGCCAGACUAAAUCCAAAUAUAUCAGUAAGCCUUUAAUAACACGGUUCCGACUCAGACAGGGUCAUAUCCUUUGCAAAACACUUGACUUGGUCUCCCUUUCUAUUUGUAUCUUCCAGUUGAGUGAGCAAGAGGAUCUGAUUGUGUGGAUGAGGACUGCAGCUUUGCCAACAUUUAGAAAAUUAUACGGGAAGAUAGAGACUGACUUGCAGAAGGGUGAUACCAUAGAAGUGAUUCUGCAGAACAACUACAACACAUACAGUUUCAGUGGGAAGAAGAAGCUUGUCCUGUCAACAACAAGUUGGCUUGGUGGAAAGAAUGACUUCCUCGGGAUUGCUUACCUUACAGUUGGGGGAAUUUGUUUCGUCCUGGCACUUGCAUUUACCGUCAUGUAUCUUGUGAAACCCAGGUUUGUAUCUUUUCAUUGGCCUCUUAAAUGUAUUAUUCAAAGAUAACAGCAAAGUGUAGAUAGAGGUUUAUUUGGUGUGGUGUUGGGUUUGUGCAGGCGACUUGGUGAUCCUACCUACUUGUCGUGGAACAGAAUUCCUGGAGGUCGGUAAACAAAGACUGUGCAUCAUCUGCGUAUGUAAAUCUACUUAUCCGUCAUUGUAAUCUGAUUCAAAACUGCAAGUGAUGAUUUUCUUAUUAUAGAUGUUAAAUGUAUGUAAGAUGUUACAGUUAAAAGAUACCCAUUACAUAGAAUGAUUGAUGCUUCCUAUCAUGCUCGUUACCUUUUCUCUUUUUCUCUUCCACAAAAGCACUUCCUCGAAAUGGAUUUAUUAGCUGGACUCACUCUCCCUUUUAACUAUUUGUUUGUAUCAAUCAAUAGCACUCAUUGCGUUCAAAUAGAAUAGUAUUUGAUUCUGAGAUUAGAAACACCAUUACAGAUUCGAGAAAAAAGAGCGGCAUUUGGUUUGUUUGUUUGUUUGUUAGCUGUAGUUCAAUAAUCAGGCCCAGAUGGCGAGGAGGGACAUGGAAGCAGCGCCGAGGACGAGAGAGAGAUAAGCGGCUAAGUGAAGCCAGAGAUUUGAUUGCAAUCUUGGAUUCAUAAAAUCAGGAGCAAGAAGAUCAACGAGUGACAUGUAAAUGAGAAUCCCACCAGAUGCAGCGUUCAACAUCCCUUCCACCAUUAUUGCCUCUUUGCUCUCUUUCCUGUACCCUAAACCACUCGACAGCCCCAUCCCUAUCCCUAUCCCAACCGGUGCUGUCACCGAGAAAAAUGUUGCCAUUAUCACCGUUGAUUUCGACUUCAACUCCGCCUAUGCAUACACACACAGCAUCAGUAUACUAUCAUCAAUCAUUUGAGUUUUAAUCAUGAAUAAAAAAAUAUGAUUGUUGUGACACACUGUUCCCCAAAGCUAAGUUACCAAUGAAACUAAAAGAUUUGUCUAAACAAAACCACACGUCCGGCUAAGUGAUUAAUAGAAAGUCAAGAUUCGUGGACUUACAAGGGAGAUGCAGCCACCGAGACCAAGACCUUCAAAGAACUGAUGAAACGAAAGAGCAGCCAUGAGUGGCUUUAUGGUGUCUAUACUCUGUGAAGCUCCAAGUGAUAUCCCUAUAAUAACCGAAUGCACAACUAUCCCAAUCUCAAGCACCUGCGACACUAUGCGUCUCCUUAUCAUCUCAGUCGAGCCAUGCGCGUGUCCGUGACUCGCGUGCGUGUGCACGUGAACAUGGCCCCCGUGCUCUUCUUCGUCCACUACUACGUUAACUAGCUUGCUCCCACUGUUAUUGCUAAAAUGUUGCCUCUUGUAAUACCCCGUGGCAAAAGUGUCGAUCAUAAGAGUCCCCAUCGCCGACAGCAUCGCUACAAAACCCGCAAACGGGAACUUGCCAGCUGUCGUGUCCUCAAGACAAGGUGAGCUCAAUCUCUCGAACGCGUCUGGCAGUAUAUGGACGAAACCUGUGCAUAGGAUCACUCCUGCAGCGAAAGCUUUCACCAUGAAGAAAAUAUCGUUUUCCGGCUGCAACGCCGGAAUCUUUUUCCCGAUCAACGGUAGACUCACGCCGAGUCCUCCAGCCACAAGAAGCAAAGCGAUCGAUCCAAGCUUCAGCGUCGUCGCUUUCUCUGCUUCAUCUUUAGACACAACGUCAUGAUCAUCGUGACUUGUACAAUCGCUCGAGGCACAACACACAUGCAAACAUAUUAUCAAUACAACAACACAAAUCCUCAACAUAGUUGCCGAAGAAGAGCCGCAUUCAGACAUGGGUUUCAGAUAUUUAAUUUUUGCUCUUAAUUAGCUUGUUUUGUAAGAGAGUAAAGUGUGUGAAGAGUUAUGAGGAAGAAAGGGAAGCUUUUUAUAGAGAGAAAGCGAGAGAGAACCUUCACUUUUUUUAAUAAGCGAGUGGUCCAUAUAUGUUAAUAGCAGAAUCUAUAUAUUACGUAGAGUUGACCACUAUACGUAGAGUUUGUCGCGCACAAAAAGAAUUUGAAAUUCUCUAAGUAGUACUCCUAAAUACUGUAUUGUAUAUAUAACACUAAUAAUUAAGUCAUUUAACAAAGUCUAUAUAGAAUAGAGCUAGGAAGGAACAUUUAUGGAAAAAGGCUGGCUAAAGAAUUCAUCGGUUACUAUAAGAAAUUCUGCAAAGCAUCUUAGAUUGUAGUGUAUGGAUGGCUCAAACAAGACGCCCUUUCGAUCUCUUCUAAUCAUUACUUAUCUAUUUAUGCAUUCUCUUGAGAUGCGAUAACUAAACUACGACGAAAAUUCAAAGUAAUGUAUCUAUGUAUACUUAAAAGGAACAACAUAUAUAUGGAGACUACCAGAGUUUGGAACAUUAUUGGUCUUGAACUUAUAAGUAGGAUUUGAAUGGAACCAUGCAUUUUAGGAAUAAUAAAGAAUGGGAAAAGAGAUUAGCUGUGAAUGCUAAUCCUUGUAAUUAUUAGUUGUCAAGGUUAGUUCAUGAUCUCCUUUUUCCACUUUAUCAAAAAGCAAAAACUAUGUGUCUAUAUAUGAAUUGAAAAUGUGAGAGACUUUUUUUAUUUUAUUUUAUAACAAGAAAGUAAAAAUGUGAAGACAGAAUGUCGUCAUGUUAGUCUGUGAACCGUGAGAUGAGUGGUUUUAGUUUGGUUUUUUAAUUUACUUUUGGGUUCAAGAAGUUUACGAUGGUCUCAUCGUCCUCUCAAGGUGGGUGAUGCUGGCCCAAUCAAUCCACGUGUUUCGGAUUCAGAUUUCACCAUCGCCACUUGAGUGUGAUGGUUACCUGAAAACCUAAUGAUUAUGGCCUUUUGUAUCUUGGUUUCAAGUCUUAAGAACUCUGAACUAUAUACAUCGAGAUAUAGACGUUUGAGGAAACAAUUUGUUGGUUUUCAUAAGAAAAGGAAUCGGACAGAACUAAUCCCAAAAGCAUCGAUGUUUCUCAUCACGACACUUGACUAGAUUGUUACGUUACUUUCUACACCUAAAACUGAUCUUCAAUGAUCUAAUUACUUCAUUAGGAUAGGAUAAUAAUGGUUUGUGUUAGUUUGGUAGUUGUGUUAGGUUUAAACAUGUAUAAAGCAUGGUUCAGAAAAGAUGAUAGAUAUUCUGUUUUAUAUAACUGAUAUUUAUAUUUCAUUUAUAAGAAAAAAUAAUUUAGCAUCAAUCAAUCGUUCACAAACAUCUACAUGUGCAUUCCCUAUUUGAUUUUAACAUGAGUGCAUUGACUUCUUUUUCCUUCUCUUUUUUUUUUUUUGUCAUCUUUUUUUUUUCCUUCUCAUUUCCCAUCAAAGAUUUUCAUUCCGUAUAUUAAGAUGAAAUUAAUAUGAAAAUUAAGAAAAUGUCGAUAAUGUUAUGCAUAUAUAUAUAUAUAUAUAGUAUAUGUUUUUUGGACGAUUUUACAUUUCAUUUGUUUAGUACUAGAUAUACGAUUUUCCGUAAUUUAUAUAAAACCAUAAAAAUGAUAAAUUACCAACAAUUAAUUGAACUUGCAGUGGAUAUUAGCCGAAAUUUUCCCUAAUUAACUACCACAAUAUACCUACUUUAAAAACCACAAUUUCCAUUAGAUUUAUUUUUCUGUAAAAUAAUAAUAAACUCCAUUAGAUUUUAUAAUCUUUAUGAUAUCACUAAAAAAAUACUUUAAUCAUAAUUUACCUUUUUACAGCAAAAACACUGCCUAAUUGGUGGUCUCAUAUCUCCAACUAUAUUUUUUUUGCUAGAUAUGUUUCCCUAAUUAUUCUUUUACUGUAUUUAAGACAUUCACUUUCUUGUUUUGUCUGGUAACUUUGGUAAAUGAUUUACUGUUUUGAUAACUACUACUAAUCAUAAAAGUGGUACUAAAACCAUUAACAAAAACGAUACUUUCAGUUUUUUAACAAAAUUAAAUUCAACAGUAGAUAUAUUUAUAUCUCAUAUAUUAAACUAGCAAAAGGAAAAGUUAUUAGCACAUAUAUAUACCGGGUGAUUUACUUACAUAAAUAAGUCUUCCGGUCCGUUUUUGGAUACUAUCUACUGAGAUAUUUUUACGAUGUACCGGUUGUGUUAACCGAGUCUUUGCGUAAUUGAAACAUUUUUAACAAAGAAAAGUAGAAAAAAAAAAUCAUUAGCAUUGGAGAAGAGAGAGAGGCGAGAGAGAGAGGGAGAGCAGCAAAAGAAGCAAUCGUGAGAGACUCUCGAGUCUUCCUGAGUCACUCCUCUCCUCUCACACCUCCGCGGCGGCGAAUUGGUACAGAGACAGUGAGCUCACAACGAACGUCCUUAUUCAUCUUCCUUCGAUUACCUUGUUUAGGGUUCUGGAUUCUUCUUCACAAUGGUACGCGCUUUCUCCUUCAUCCUUUUUUUGUUUUGUUUUGUUUUGUUCUGCUUUGGGGUUUACGGAUCCUCUUAUAGCGUCUGUGUGCCUUUUUUGGCUUUUCGGAGUUUCAUUUCAAGCCGAGUAGAAACGAACAAGGCUCCUUAAUUUUUCGAUUUCAGUGAUAAUUGACAUCUCUGUGGGUGUGUAAUCGUAUGAUCCCUUUUGUUUCUGCAGCAUAAGUUGAAUAGAAACAACCGUGACAAACUUCAGCAGUUCGUGGCUAUCACAGGAGCUAGGUAACUGGAUCUCUCCCUCAGAAGCAAGGCUUAUCGCUAGUUUCACUGUAGAUUUAUUGUUACAUAAGGCCAAAAACAAGGAACUACCUCUGUAGCGUGAUAGCAAACACAUUUGCAACAUUUCUGGGUUUGGCUAUAUAUCUCAAAUUGUGUUUUGGUUUUGACAUGUUGAUUUAUUUGGGCAGUGAGAAGAGUGCUCUUCAGGCUCUCAAAGCCAGUGACUGGCACCUUGAAGCAGCGUUUGAUGUGUUUUACAGCCAGCCUCACCCAAGAAGCAAUUCUGCUGAUGUAAGACGCUUGGAGGAGCUCUACAAUAGAUAUAAAGGCAAGCUACUUGUUGUUCUCUGAGUUGAUCAAACCAAUGUUUGAUAUCAUUUCUGUACCGUUUGCAUUAUAGAUGUUAUGUUACAUUUUGCAGACCAGUAUUCUGAUAUGAUUCUGGCGGAGGGUAUCUCGAAUCUCUGUAAUGAUCUUGAGGUAUAUUUGUCUUCUUGAAUAAAUUCUUAAGAAUGAUGUGGUUUCUCUUACAUAGUAUGAAUUAAAUCUGUCUUGAAAUCAAUCUGCAGGUGGAACCACAAGACAUAGUCACGGUAUGCUUAUUUUGAAACAUUUUUCCUACCACUUGCUUGCGUGUAUCUGGUUUUUAGAUUUGCCUUAGGGAACCAAAAAAUCACCCAGUAUGAGUCAAGUAUGUUGUAAGAGAUAGACAAAAUUUGAGUUAGAUGAGAAUUUCCAAUUUCUAUGGAUAGAGGAACAGAAUGAAAGUGGGUUUUAACUCACUGGUUGCUCUGUGCUUUCUUGUAAGUCUUCUGGAUAUUUACUGAAAUGAGUACUUACUCCAAUUCCAGUUGGUUCUUUCGUGGCAUAUGAACGCUGCCACAGCGUGUGAAUUUUCCAAGCAAGAGUUCAUCACUGGACUACAGGCGUUAGGGUGAGUGAACUAGCCUUGAUACUUUUCGAUUUGUGUAUCAUUUUGACCUCGUAAGGGCCUUUUUUUUUGGUGCUAAAACCCAAUUUUCUGAUGGCAGUGUAGAUUCCAUCGCGAAGUUGCGUGAAAAGCUGCCAUUUAUGCGUUCUGAGCUUAAAGAUGAACGUAAGGAGAAAAUUGAGUGGCCAUUCCUUAUCUGGUUCACAAUUUGAUUGAUGGAAAGUCCUAUGUUAACUAACAUAUGUGUAAUGUUCUCUUGUGCAUUGUGCAUCUAUCUUGUUCAGAAAAGUUCCAUGAUAUAUACAACUUUGCGUUUGGGUGGGCGAAAGAGAAGGUAAAAAACUUGAUUUGAGGUAGUAGUUGCUUUUAGGAGAUGUUUUUUUUUUUCUGAGUUAUUGAUAAAUAUUUUAAUGGUAAAAUGUUUCAGGGGCAAAAAUCUCUUGCUCUAGACACAGCGAUCGGGAUGUGGCAGUUGCUCUUUGCAGAAAGAGAGUGGCCGUUGGUAACUCACUGGUGUGAUUUCUUGCAGGUAAACAUGAGUAUAAUAUAUCCAUCAAGGCAUGUUCUAUCUUAUUUGUUGCUUCUGAUACAAUUUUGUUUCCCAAAAAUCAGGAUCGUCAUAACAAGGCCAUAUCUAAGGACACAUGGGCACAGCUCCUGGAAUUUUCAAGGGUAAGAAAAAAACUAGACACAGUUGUUAUUGAGUAGCGUUGAUAUAUGGAUUGAGAACAAGUUUUUGUGAUGCAGAUGGUCGACCCUGUGCUGUCGAAUUAUGAUGCAGAAGGAGCAUGGCCUUACCUCAUUGAUGAAUUCGUUGAGUACCUGUAUGACAAGAACGUCGUCGAGAAGUGACCAGCCAACUGGGAGAAGUAAUUUGUUACUAUGUUCCUUUCGUCUCAUUAUUUUAAUAGACUUUACUUAUCUUACAGAUUUCUAUUGUGUUUCUGGUCAGAAUCUUGAAAUUGAUUAUUAAAUAAGUCAGCUUUUCAACUUUUGAGACUUGUCUAGUUUUUUAGUAUAAUGAAACUAAAAUUGCCCCUCCCUCUAUCUGUUGUCUACCAAUAAUCAUUACACGAACAAACUCCAUCCUUAAAAUGAUGGAACCGAUUUGUGUCUCUCACGACAAUCUCUCUGCCUACAAGCUUUGAGAUAAGCUUUGUAGCAGCGUGACAGUUCACACACGCUCUUAGAUUCUUUGUGAUCCGCAGUGUUGUCCCUUGGGGUGUACUUAUAAGCCCAUAUGCGAUCGCUAUCCUCUCACUGUGGUUACACAGCGUCUCUUCAGCUUCUUCAUCGUUGAGAUCGUGCAAUGAAGAAUCCUUGUAUGCCACAAAUCCACCUUCCUUUAGUCUACUCUCUAUCCACUCUACUUGUCUCUCUAUAUCUCUGUAUCUUGGAUGUGAUUUAUCACCCACUCGAAAAGCCUCCAACCUUCCCCUCACUUCCACCCAGCUGCAUCCUACGUCUUUGCUCAAUCCUUUCUCCUUCAUUCUCACCCGCACCUCUGCAACACGGUCCCACAAACGAGCUGCAGCAUAUAGAUUUGAGAGCUGCACGUAGUGGCCUGUGUUGGAUGGAUCUAUAGAAAAAAGCUGUUGAGCUGCAUAUUCUCCCAGUUCCACAUGGCGAUGCUUCUUGCACGCGCUUAGGAGUGCUCCCCAAACUGUUACACCGGGCUGGAUCGGCAUGCAUUUGAUCACUUCAUAAGCUUGAUCCAUAUGACCAGCACGCCCAAGAAGAUCAAUUACGCAUGCAUAGUGUUGCUGUUGCGGAUUUAUUUUGUGAUCUGCCAUCCGAUUGAAGAACCACCAGCCUUCUCUUACCAAGCCUGAAUGGUUACAGGCCAUGAGGAGCCCCAGAAAAGUAACGUCAUUGGGAUGCACUCCAUCAUGUUCCAUUGUACGGUACAGACUGAUUGCUUCUCUUGCCCGUCCGUGCAAUCCAUAACCAACAAUCAUAGCACUCCACACGACAACAUCCCUGUCAAGAGUUCGGUCAAAAACCGAUCUUGCGCACUCUACACUUCCGCAUUUAGCAAACAUAUCAAUUAGGGCGCUGCUAAUGAAAACAUCAUCCCUGUAGUCGCUCCUGCCUACAUAUUUCUCCAUCCAGCAGGCCUGCUCAAGACAACCAACUUGAGAGCAAGCCGAAAUGGCAGAUGUUAUAGAAAUGGUGUCGGGUCUGACAUCUUUAUCGAUCAUCUUAUGAAACAUAUCAAUAGCAUCCUUGGCAUAACCGUUUUUCGCGUAGCCAGAAAUCAUGGCGUUCCACAAAAUAAGGUUGGGAGACUUCAUCUUAUCAAACAGAAUCUUGGCAGUUGCGACUUGGCCACAUUUUGCAUACAUGGUGUUGAGAGAGAUGAGCAAGUCGGGCUCUGUUUCAAGACCCAUCUUCACAACAGAAGCAUGAAUGGAUCUCCCUUGCUCCAAAUCCUGUAAGCAUGUGAAAGCAUUGAGAACACUAACGAGAGCUACCCAGUCGGGCUUCACACCCAUCUUCCUCAUCUGACUGAAAAUCUCGAGAGCUUCCACAGGCUCACCAUUCUGAGCAUAAGCUGAAAUGAUAGCCGUCCAUGAGACAAUCGUUCUCUCUGGCAAUGGCAGUCCUUCAAACACUGUUCUCGCGCAUCCCAGACGCCUACAUUUUGCAUACAAGGCAAUAAGACCGUUCUGAACAAACACAUCAGCUUCAAAUCCAAGCCUGAACACCUGAGAGUGAACGAGCCGACCCAUGGGAAGGUGAGACAAACCGCUGCAAGCUUUAAGAAGAUGAGGAAAAGUGAAAGAAUCAGGAGAAACGCGAGCGAGUUGCAUCUUGGAGUACAUGAGAAGAGCAUCUUGGAAGUAACUAUUUCUUGAAUAACCCCUGAUGAUGGCAUUCCAAGGAAAUAUUUGAGGGCGAGGUAAAUCGUCGAACACCUGACGUGCAAAAGUAACGUCUCCAAAGGAAGAGCUGGCUUGAAUGAGCUUGGUGAUCAAGAAGCCACUGAAAUGCAAACCCAGAACCAGUAAACGUGCGUGGAUUUGCCUAAGCUGAGCUUUAUGAGUGGAACUAUCAAUAAGCGAGGCGUAGAAAGAAUCGGAGUGGAUUCCUGAAUUGGCUGCAACAACAAAAUAACAUACUCUCACACAUCAUGAGGUUUCGUUUUGGGAUCAAAUUGGACAGAGAAACACAACACAUUCAGUUCUUACUGUAGAGAAAAGGAGAAGCAAGAAGAGCUGCUUCGGACAUUGUUUAAUGUUGCCUCAUUUCUUUUUCGUUCUUCGUUAUUUGACUUGUGCGUUUCCUUCACAGUUUCAUCAGUCAUCACCAUAACUAUUUGAAUUCAAUUUAUUUAUGUGGAAAAUUUUGGUAACUUUUUUGUUAUGUGACUUGGACUUGGGAGGCCCAAGUUGAGCCUAUUAACUUUUAACGUCCGUGGAACGAGUUCAGGUCAUUAUCUUUUUUUUUUUUCGUUUUUUUAAAUUGAAAGAUAAUAUAUUAAUAUUUAAUGUAUAGAUAAUUAUUAAUAAGUACUAAUAUUGGGGAUUAAAAACAAUGUUAAGGAAAGUAAAUCAUACGAAAAUUGUUAAUAAAUUUUUAUCAAUUAAAGAAAACACACUAAAAAUAAGGCUCAAAAUCGAAUCUACAUAAAUAAGAUCCCACUGUUAUCCUUCAAUUCUUAUAAGAUCUUGCCAUUAGGGUUUUUACUUUUUAUUUUCUUUCCUGAUCCUUUAUGACAUUUGUUUAUCAGCACUCCAUUAUAAAUAUUUAGGAGAGGGUUAAGAACAUAUAUCACUAGAGAAAAGCAAAAUCAUGACUUUAUUUACUAGUAAUCUGUGUGAAGAGCACGAACAAGGCAUGAAGAAAGGUGUUGAUGUAAGCAGCAGUGACUCAGAUCAUCAUGAAGGUGAUCGAGCAGGUAUUGAUGAUGACUCUGACGAUGAUCCAGCAGGUAAAUCUAGAGUGUUACUUUCAGAAAAAUAUAGGUCAAGAUCUGCUCAUCAGUUCAUGAGACGUGCGGAGAAAGUUUGGGCACUUCCUUCUACUAGAGAGGAGGAGGAAGACGUUGAAUCCCAAAAACGUGUACUGGAGUCUAAACCGGAAUCAGAUGAAGAUAAAGUGGGGGACAUCGUUUGUUUUGGGAAGAACAGUUACUUCGUUAUUGAUAUCUUCGAGAAAGAGAUCAUGGAGUUGGGAGACAAAGUGGAUUUGAACUACGCAAGAUUCAGCAAGUUCGAAGCUGUUUGCGGAGGCGCUCCACGAGACCAUCACUUCUACAGCUACCGUUGCUGCUACUCUCGCCGCUGCAAUUGCUACAGCGGUACCGUGGAGCGGGAGUGGGGGAUUCUUGAGAGAGGAUUAGCUUCUAGGGAGAAGAAGGGAGUUAGCUUCUUUGUGACAACUUACAAAGACAGAAAAGAGCUGAUGAGGGUUGCUGUAACCGUGACAGAUUGUCAUCAGAAUCAUAGUUUGUACUUCUUUGACCUCAAGUUCCCUUCUGAGUAUCCCUAUGGAGCACCGAGUUUCUACUACCAUCCGUAUGGACUUCCUUUGAGUACUCAUGAAGCCCAAAAGCCAUUGAGAGCAAAGCUCUGCUACAACAUCUUAGAUGUGUUUCUCCACAUUCAAGACAUUGUGUUGAUGAACACCAACAAGUCAGGUCAGCAGAUGCUAGAUUUGCUGGAACGGCCGCUCGCUGGGUUUCAAGAUUUUGUACAAGGGUUUUUUAGGAAGAAGGGGCCGAUGAUUCUGCGGAACUUGAUGCAAGAGUUUGAUAUGGAAAAGGAGAGGGACAAGAAAAUGUUCUGGAAGGUGUACAUUGCGUUUGUUGACAAUAAAGCUUAUUGUGAGCAUCUUCUCAACAGUGAUCUGAAAGCAGAGCUGGAGAAAUUGAAGGAGAAAGAGUAUACGUUAAGCAGUCACUACUAUGGUUCUUCAUCUCCCUACUACUCAGCCUACAAUACAAAGCCCGAUGGUUUCAAGAAGACAUCCAAAAACCAAAGCUUUUUCAGCAAGUACUUGCCUUUCGAUUAUUAGUGUCUUUUCUUAUCUUUUUGUAAUUUGUUUUUUCAGAUUUUUAAUGUGAUUCAGUGAUUCUUUUCCGAGAAAUGAGUCUCUCACUCUCUGAUACAAAUUCAAAAGUCAAGAGUUGAAUAGGUAGAUUUAUACUUUACAGUGAAAGAAACUCUGCAAGUACACAUUGUUUGCCUCGUCAAUGAAAAGAGUUUCUAAACGGUGACUGGGAUCGCUUCAUCAAGGGCGACAACACCGGGAAGUACUUUGCCUUCCAACAGCUCCAAGCUGGCUCCACCACCAGUGGAGAUGUGACUCAUGACUCCUGCUACUCCUACUUUCUCGACAGCAGCCACUGAGUCUCCUCCUCCUAUUAUCGUUGUCACACCCUUUCCACUUAGCUCAGCUAGUUUAUUGGCUACCGCCUGCAACAACCACAACAAAAAACUUAAAUCUAGUAUUCAUCUACCAUGUGUUUAUUAUAUGCGGAGUCACUUUCUUACCUCUGUUCCAGCCGCAAACUUUUCCAUCUCGAAAACUCCCAUAGGUCCAUUCCAAAUAACUGUUUGUGUUGUGUCCAGAGCUUCAUUGAAAGUUUUAAUAGAGUCUGGACCGAUGUCCAAUCCCAUCCAUCCGUCCUCAAUGCCUGAUGCUGGCACGAUCUACAAACAUCCACAUUACAUACUUUGCUCAGAACACAAAAGCUAUAGAAAAAUUAAAUAUUUAACAUUUCUGCUUCUCACAUCUCUCUUUUAGGAUCAUCAAGCAAUAACAAACCACACGAGUUUACAUAGAGCACCAGGCUUAAACAGGAGCACAACUUACUGACUUCUCAAAAUUUCUUUUAUAAGACACACAUAUAGCUAACAUAGGGUUCCCAUAAGAAUUUAAAACUCAGCUUUUGAAGGAGCAACUCUUUUCUCUUUUUCUUUUAUAUUAAGUAGGCCAGUCAAAAGGGUUUUUGUCUAAAAACCUCAGCAGAGAAAAUUCUUACAAAAAUACAUUUCCCAUUUUUCGUUUUACUAUCAUCACCCAAGAAGUUAAAUUGCCAAGCUUUAAGCAAUGGCGAGAUAAGAGAGACAUACCUUGCUGUUUGCAUCAGGAGCAAAUUUGUCAGCAACCACAACAUCUGUUGGCAACAAAAGAGAGACUCCUUUGGCCUUAGCUUUGGCAAGGAGUUCUGUAGCCAAUUCAAGUUUGUCUUCUUCAACAAGGGAGGAACCAACUGAAAGACCUUGUGCCUUGUAGAAUGUAAAGAUCAUUCCACCACCAAGAAGAAGGAUAUCACACUUCUCCAGAAGCGAUUCAAUAACUCCAAUUUUGGACGAGACCUUGGAUCCACCCACUAUGGCUGCAAAUGGUCUCUUUGGGUUUGAAACAGCGCCAACAAGGUAGUCCAGCUCCUGUAGUUGUAGAGAGAAAUAAACAAAUAAGCCCAUGGUACCAUUUGUAGAGACGAUGCUUUGACGCAGAAUUGGCAAUCAAAGGAAAGUAGAAUCUCUAUCAAUAAAUCACCUUCUGCAGAAGGAAACCAGCAACUGAAGGCUUCAAGAACUUAGUGACUCCUUCGGUAGAAGCAUGAGCUCUGUGAGCAGUUCCGAAAGCAUCAUUAACAUAGAGGUCAGCUAAUGCAGCAAGCUUCUUGGCAAACUCAGGAUCGUUCUUUUCUUCCUCCUUGUAAAACCUGACGUUCUCAAGAAGCAAAACUCCACCUUCAGGAAGAGAAGCGACAAGGCUUUCCACUUCCGGACCGAUACAAUCAUCAGCUUUGGUGACCUGCAAAACCCACCGUAAAAAAAUGCUCUCAAGCAAAGGAAGAAGAUUUAUAAGUGAGACAAAACACGAAUUUUACCUGAAUACCAAGAAGCUCGGAGAGCCUAGGGACAAGAGGAGCCAAACUGAACUUUGGUGUGACUCCCUUUGGCCUUCCCUGAAAGAAAGAUCAAAACGCACAAAGUGUUGUAAUUUAGUUCAGGGGCGAUGGAUAAUUCGAAUGUAUAGUGUGUGGGUGUGGGAAUAUUACCAGAUGAGUGGAGAGGAUGACUUUAGCACCAUUUUCAAUCAAAUACUUGAUUGUUGGAAUAGCUGCACGGAUUCUGGUAUCAUCGGUGAUAGUCUGGUUAUCAUCGAGAGGUACAUUGAGAUCAGCUCUCACGAAAACCUUCUUCCCCUUUAAAUCAGCUGAGGUCAGAUCUCCGACGCUCUUCUUCGCCAUAGAAACCACUCCUUUGCUCCCCUUCCCCCGCACUGAUUCAACCUUGGAAGCAACGUGGAGGGAGAAACGACGGGAAUCGAGAGUGGCGGAGAAGCCAAGAGGACGCGCGGAUACAGAGGUAGAGGGAAUUGGCAAGAGAGAGGCGCGUGCACGAGUUGCGUCGGAGGAAGCUACGCCGCCGGUGGACUUAAAGAAGGAAAAGGCGCGACUUGCGGCGGUUGAAGCCAUGUGGAUCAAAGGAGAUAAAAUGGAUUAGGAGAUGAGAAACAGAGA
This 66915-nucleotide long non-coding RNA is filed under the name Capsella grandiflora. RNAcentral describes it as "long non-coding RNA (CGRA_LNC001385)". Lineage: Eukaryota; Viridiplantae; Streptophyta; Magnoliopsida; Brassicales; Brassicaceae. The record is from RNAcentral.